GCAGUAGAAAAGGCUUAAAUCCCUUAGAUUGGUUAGUGAAGUCAACCAUUUGGGAAAAAUGUUGCCUCCGUAGAAUAUAAUCCUUAACUCCUCUACAUUCAAAGGCGGUUGUAAGGCUUCAAGAAGUUGUUUAUCUUUCUCGUUCUUCCUCCUCCCUUCUUCGCCCUCCCCAUCUACGACUCCACCAAACUCAAGAUGCAAACGAAGGAGGUUUUUCUUAUUGUAAAGUUGUAACCUCUCAGCCUCAUCUACAUGCGAUACAUUACUCAGCCCUUCUACUCUACAUUCACGAAGGAGUUGAAGAUUUUUCAGAGAUUCAAGCCUACACGUAUUGCUACCAUCAACACCUCCACCCACCACAAACUUUUCUAAUGUUCGAAGGCUAGUCAAUUUGGAAAUCCCUAUUGGCAGGUACUUCAACGAACGAGUUUUAUCAUUCAGUAAACUCCUCAUGUUCAUUAACUUCCCAAUCCCUGCAGGCAAUUCUCUAAGAUAUUCGCACUGCCUAAUAUCUAGCUUUUGUAAAUUAUAUAAUUGACACAAAGUCUCAGGUAGUCUCUCUAACCUUAAUCCAGACAAAUUAAGAUAUUUUAAAUGUAUCAAUUUUCUAACUUUUUCUGGAAUUUCUAUAAUCAAAUUUGCCUCAGGAUGAAAACCUAAAAUGUGAUAUUGCCUCAUAACUAAUGCCCUCAAACACGCCAAUUUACUAAAUAACUCCGAAAGGAUGCUACUACUAAGAGGCCGACUGUAAGGACUUUCAUCAUAAAUUAAUAAGGUACGCAAUCUAUUAAGUCCAUGAAUGGACAUAGGAAAUGAAGUGCCUCUUUGAAAAUUUAACCCUAAGUGACGGACUUUGUCACCAAAAGAGUUUAUGACUGAUUCUUUGGUACCAUUAAUUUCUACCCACAAACAUUCUUUUCUACUUACAAAUUGGGCAAAAUCAUGUACUAUGUCAUGCAUCUUACACCCCAGAAUAUCAUCAUUGUCAUCAUCUUUUUCAAACUCUUGAAAGAAAGAGCGUGUUGCUAAGAUGUUGAAAUAUUCUUCUCCGAUCAUCUCCAUUUCUUCGUCUUCAUCUGCAUUAAGGUAACCUUGAGCCAUCCAUAGAUUAAUCAAUUCCCUUUUAUUCAUAUUGUAGUCUUUUGGAAAGACAGCACAAUAUGAGAAACACCGUUUUACCAUAGAAUUGGAGGGCAAAUCGUUAUAACUCAACAACAAAGGAGCCAAAAUACCUUGCCCAAUCUCUUCUACUUUCCACAUUUCACUCUCUAAAAUUCUUUGCCACUCUUUUAUUGUACUUUUAGAGCGCAAGAGAUUCCCUAUUACCUUUGCAGCAAGAGGUAGGCCUUUGCACUUACAUGCAAUUUUUCGCCCGAUUGGUUCUAAUUUUUCACAAUCCUCAAAGGACCUACGUAGAAAUGCUAUCUGCUUAAACAGUAACCAACAUUCCCCUUCACCCAACUCCUUGACAGGGAUAAUAUCUAUUGAUCCCAACUGCAGUGCAACUGACCUAUCACGUGUGGUAAUUAGAAUUUUACUUUCAUGGUGGCCAUUCUUUAGACAAGAAAAGAAUGGGUCCCAUUUUUUGUAAUCUCCAUCCCACACAUCAUCUAAAACAAGAAAAAAUUUCUUCCCCGUAAUAUAUUCCUGAAUCUGUUUCAUAAGAGAUUCGAAUUCGCUUAAACCAGAAGCUGACGCGCCUAGACUUUCAAUGAUUGCUUUGGCGACCCUAAUCUCCUCAAAAGUGUCUGAUACACACACCCAUAUAACUUUUUCAAAAUUUCUUUUCACCUCAUCAUUAUUAUAGGCCAGUUGUGCAAGAGUGGUUUUACCUAUACCCCCUAACCCAACUAGUGAGAUGACAUGAAGGCCUUUUUGUUGUUCACUACUUUCACACAACAACUUGCUUAAGAGCUCAUUUUUCUCAUCAACUCUACCGCAAACCUCUCCCUCAUCAAUCAAGGAGGUGGUUCGCACUCGCUCUGGUUUCUUAACAUUGCUGCUCACAUUCUCAACAAAUUUAAACGUAUCUUUUUGGGAGGCAAUAUCAUCUAGCUUUCCAUUGAUUUCCCUGAUCUUGACGGCAAUGUCAUGACGAAGACUAAGUUGUUUGAAACUACCAAAGCAGUUUGAUACAGCACAAAAGAAGGAGCGUACCUUCUUAUGAGGAGCAAGAGCAAAAGCAUUGUCAUCAUCAACGCCCUCAAUCUGCAAUUUGAGCCUUGCAGUGGUCCACUCCUCCAACACGUCUUCCAUGUCGUAAGAUGCGUCUUUGAGUUGAUCCAGCCAAAAAGUAACAGCAUUGUCGCGCUGCAUUUGCCUUUUCUCUGCAUCUUCCAGCACAGCUCGAAUGGCUCGAAGAUUGCUGGUAAGCUUUUUCACUUCUUCUCCGACACCAGUCACAAGCCUCACCUGUUGUUUCACUUCAUCAGCCGCAACGGAGAUCAGCUGCUCCAGGAGAGAGGAAACGAUCGCAUCAACCAUUCUGACAAAGAAAACGAGAAUUCUGAUGAGUUAUUAGAUGUGCUUUUGUUGCGAAGAUAUGAAAGAAAGGAGUUAUUGCAUUCUUUUAUACUGCAUAGAAAAGGUUUAUGCUUAUCCCCAACCCACACGUCAAUGAUUGUAGAAUGUUUAAUUUCCCUGAUUCUACUCCACUAGUUGUAAUAUUCUCAAGUUAUGUAUGAAAAUAGCACAAAUUUGGACCUACUGAUGAUUUUUAUGUAUUUUUUCAUAAUCUUCUAAAAUACUGUAUCUGCAUGUUAUUUCGUGCAGAAAUAUGGCAUUGGGUGAAAAAAGUUAUGCUUAUCCCCACCCACACGUUAGUAAUUGCAGUAGCAUCUUUAAUUUCCCUGAUUCUACUCCACGGACGAACACAUUUUUUGUACUAAUAUCUUUAAAUUCCCACACGUUAGGAAUUUGGCACAUAAUCUCAAACUCGUCCCAUCUUUAACGUAUGAGGUUGAUGAAUGAAUUCUUUUCUCAUGUGAAUUUAAAACUCCGAGAUUAUGUGCCAAAUUCCUAACGUGUGGGAAUUUUACCUCCUAAGUAAUCCGGCCCACUGCCAAGUGCCAACUUUUUCUCUGUCGAGUUAAUGAUGUUGUUUUGUUUUCCUUGUUUUAAUUAAUGUUGCGGUGAGAAAAAGAUCGAUGUAAAUGGCUAGCCAGGUUUUGCAGAAACCAUGAAUGGUCUUGCAUGCAUGGGUGGCUUUAAGUAUAGGCCAAAAAGAUGGUCGUCUAAGGCCCCAAAUUUUAAAAAAGCUACAAUUUUUUAAUAUUAAUAAUAAUUCUCUUAUUAAUAAAAUCUUUUAAAAAAAUUAUAUGUGUGGUAGAAAAGCCUAUUAGACAUAUCUCUAAUUAAUAAUUAUCCUAUAAUUAAUAUUUUUUUUAUAUAAAAACCUAUAAUUGGUUAUCUUAUUGUUAAAGAGAUAUAAUUAAUAAUAUUGUUUAACCAUUAAUUUAUUCAUUAUUAGUUUUUCUAAUAAAAAUAAGUAAAUUUUUUUAUCUUUUCAACUUCUUAAAAAAAAACUUAAUUAUUCAACAUUAGAAUAUUUGGCUUUGAGUAUUUCUUUUAAUUUCUACUAAAAAUCUUAUAAUCUAAAAAAUUAUAGAUGAAAAAUUUCUUAUUAUCUUCUCUACGAUGAAGAUUAUUACAUGCAUUAGUUCAUUCAAAAAAGAAAAAUAAAAAAUUAGUUACUUGAAAUACAAAGUCCAUAUCCAUUAUCUAAAAUCAGUUCAUAAUCUCAACUUUUUAUGUGCUACCAUUCUAAAUAUUCUAUUUGAAAAUAGUAUUGUUCUCAUUUAUUCGUUUGCUUCUUUUUGUAAAAUUUCUAAUGAUAAAUUUUAGAUUUUGUUUUCAAAAAUUUUUAGAAUCUUCUUGAUUAUUUGUUGAAAUUCAAGAAUAAAAACUGAAAUGGAUUUUCAGUUCUUUAUUGUUUUAUUGAAUAUUGAAAUUACUAAAUAAAAAGAGGUCUCAUAAAAAAAAAAAAAAAAAAAAGUUCGUCUAAGGCCCCUAAUACUAUAAGCCGGCCCUGCUUGCAUGUGACAUAAAGCUUUAUAGCUUAUUCCUCCAUCAACAUUUCAAUGGUUCCAUCUCACGUGCACUUGGCUAUGAAUAAGGUCCAUGCAUGGAUCGAUCGAUUUAGGAGUUUUGGACCAUCUCAUGCUGCAGAGUUAUGUGUCAUGUAUGUGUGUUGACACUUGCCAGUUCAUUUUUGUUAUAAAGAUUAUUGAUACUCAUAAAUGCACUACUUACAAAUCAUAAAUUUUGAGUUUGACACUUUAGUUUCAUUUUGUAAUCCCUACGCUCUUUAAAUAUUUGUAACAAUAUAUUUCAAACUUUAACUCAGACGUAAUGAAUGAAGGGGGAUCCUCUUCUUAUAUAAAUUUUUAUUUUUUAACGUUCAAGUUACAUUUGAUUACGUGUACUUAUUAUCUAGUUUUGACUAUCUAAUUACAUUUGAUUACGUGUACUUAUUAUAUAAAUUUUUUUAAAAAUGAUGGGUUUGGUGAGAUUUUUUACAUCUUGGAUCAGUAGGUCAAGAACAGGCAGGGCAGGGCCUUCUCUGAAGUCAAUCUUGUGAGCAACACCAGCUUUUUGGAUAAUUGGCAGCCCCAAUUCAUAAUUUUCUCUAUUGAUGUCCAUGGCCAAAAUCUGCAACCGAAGCUUAUUCUACUCUUAUUAAUCGAGAGAUAAUUUUACCUCUAAUUAAUUUAAUUGGGAGGAAAAUCGAGAGAGAUAUCCACUCUGUCCUUAUUAAUUGAGAGAUAAUUUUACCCUUACCCAAUUUAAUUGGAAAGGAAAUCGAAUUCCAACAAUAACUAGGACUUGAAUCCAUGCACUUAAGCUAACUUUAAGUUUUUGGACGCAUGGUUAUAAUGUUCUUUAUUUAAAUCCUAACAAAUGGUGGGACUUGAACUUGUGCCUACAAACAUUGAGUGCUUAGGGGCUGCAAAAUUUCAUAACUUAAUUUUAGUUGAUGUGGCAUAUGCCCUAUCACAUAAAUGUAGGUAAUAAUAAUUAAUACAUUAACAAAAUGAAAAAUAUUAGUUUACAAAACACAAAUCCAAAAUUUUUGUGUGACAGGGGAUUUAAAAGGGAGAGACUAAAUAAAUGUGGUGAAAAACGACAUGUAUUACUAAAAUUGAAAAUACGAAGUCUAGGCAAUUGAAAACAUCGGGUUUUUUAUUUAAAUAUCCCCAAUUUGUCCUUAAAUACCAAAUUUAUACUCUAUUAUAUACAUAUACCUUACGAAGAUAGGGAAGGUAAAAAAUAACCUUAAAAAAAUCAAGAAUCCACACAUUUCUUCCUCUCAGUGCAGGAAGAUGUCGAGUACGAAGUCGGGUAAGUCGAGAAUUUAGUUGAGCAAGAAUUGGAGAUAAGUAAGUCGAGUAUAUAAUCCAGUAGGAAAUUGAGUAAGCAUAUUAAAUGAGUCGAGUAUUAAGUGGUCGAGUAUUAAAUAAAAGUCAAGUGAAUUUUUUGAACAAGUCGAGUAAAAUUUAUGUAAUUUUUAAAAAGGUCAAGUAUUAAGUCGGGCAAGUACAUUGGGUCGAGUAUUAAUAUUUUUAAGGAAGUGAAGUCUAGUAAGUUGAGCAUUCAGUCGAGUGAGAAAUGAAGGCAAUUGAAUAAGUCGAGUAUCUAGUCGAGUACGAAGUCGGGUAUGAAGUAUGGUAAGUUGAGCAUUCAGUCGAGUGAGAAGUUAAGGCAAUUGAAUAAGUUGAGUAUCUAGUCGAGUACAAAGUCGGGUAUGAAGUUUGAUAAGUUGAGCAUUCAGUCGAGUGAGAAGUGAAGGCAAUUGAAUAAGUCGAGUAUCUAGUCGAGUACGAAGUCGGGUAUAAAGUAUGGUAAGUUGAGUAUUCAGUCGAGUGAGAAGUUAAGGCAAUUGAAUAAGUUGAGUAUCUAGUCGAGUACGAAGUCGGGUAUGAAGUUUGGUAAGUUGAGCAUUCAGUCGAAUAAGAAAUGAAGGUAAUUGAAUAAGUCGAGUAUCUAGUCGAGUACGAAGUCAAGUCUGAAGUCUGGUAAGUUAAGCAUUCAGUUGAGUAAGAAGUGAAAGCAAUUGAAUAAGUCUAGUAUCUAGUCGAGUAAGCAGAUUGAAUGAGUCGAGUAUUAAUUUUUUGUUGGCAUUUUGUUGAGGUUAUUUUUGUACUUUCUUCGGUUUUUUAAGUAUGUAUAUGUAAAGUUACAGAUUUUAAUAGAUUGAGAUAUAUUUUGGAUGGUACGAGAGAAACGGGGUAUAUCCCACGCAAUUCCUUCGAAAACAUAUCUGUCAAUUGCAAUGAAAAGAUCACAACCCUUCGUAAUUAAACAAAAUCAAACUUGAAAAAAAAAAAUCACACACACAAAACAAUCACAAAAACUAUUUGUUCUGAUCAUCCCUGCUUUUUUUUAGCGUAGCUCUUGGAAUGAAAAUUAACAAAAAGUGUCAAAAGAGAAGCAUUAAACACAGCAUUGAAGCACCAACCCAAAAUCCCAGAGCAACCAAAUCCCGUAAAAUGAUAAUACAGCAUCAAAACCGAAACAACAAAACUAAACACAAACUGAACAAUCUGACAAUCAGUGACCAAUCUCUUCCACUUUGGCCGCAACACCAUCACACACAAUAGAUAGUACCCGUACAUGAUCACAUGCACACUUGCAUUGGUCACAAGUGCAAUAGGAAACAAAGACUGCUUCGUCUGUAACCAAAGGUAGCACAUUACGACGACGGUUGCAUGGUGGUAGACGUGGAGGAACGUGAGCCGUUGGAUGGAGUUUGACAAAAUGAUCAAAAGGGUGUCUAGGAAUUCGAGUAUUUUGGAGAGGUAGAAGAUGUAAGCGUAGAAGAAGAGGGGACCGGAGGGAGAAAUGGUGGGGGGAAACAGAGGGUGUGACGGAGGUCGGGUGAAUGGAGGACGAUGGAGAGAGUGCAACCAACGGCCAUGACGAGGGAGAGGAGGAGGAGGGUAAGGUUAUGGACGGCUGUGAUGGGCUUGAGGAUGUGGGGUCCAAUGAGAGGUGAUGAUGAUGGUGAUGUUGGCGUUAAUUUGUGGUAGAGGAUGAAUGUGAGGGAGAGGAAAGUGAGGAUGGAGAGAAUGAGGAAGUGUGGGGAGGAAGCUGGGGUUUGGUUUUGAGUCCACGUGAAGUAGAGGAUUUGGGGAUGGUUUACAAGCCAAUAUUGGAGUGUUGAGGUGAUUGAAUUUGAAGCCAUGGCUGGUUUUUAGGGGGAGGAAAGAUUAGAAAGAGAUGAUGUUGAGAGGAGUGGGGGAGUUUAGAAAGUUUGGGAUAAUGUGAGGGGUAUUUUGGGCAUAUAAUGUUGUCUGAGCUUAAAUUUUUGUUAAAAAGAAAUAAUAAUAAUAAUAAUAAUAAUAAUAAUAAUAAUAAUAAAUUCUUUUCUCAUGUCAAUUUAAAACUCCGAGUGUGUUUCCAACAAUUGCUUUUCUUUUUCUAUUUUGGGAUUUUGAAUCAUUUUUUUUUCAAUUCAAUAAUGGCCUCUUCAAUUAUAAACUAUGGUCAAAGGGGAUGGGGUGUAGUGUCUAGGCCUCCGUGACAACGGCAUCUUUGAACGUGGGUUCCAUCAGUUUUUUUUUUUUUUUUUGACUAUUUCUGCUCAAAUCAAACUUGUGGAUUUCGUGCACUCAACGUGGAACCCUUUUGAAUGGACGCAAUGGUUUUGGUGGGAUCACACAAUCCGAAGAAGCAUGGAACUGCGACCAAUUUGUUGACAAAAAUUAGGCAUAAAAUUUACAAAUCGAAGUCAAGAGUAAGAUUUAAGUAAAAUUGAGUAACAUCUUGCACAUCGAGUAAGGAUUUCUACAAUCGGGCUAGAAAGUGCAACUAAAAUUUGGUAAGAGUUUCAUAGAGCAUAAUUUUUAAGAUACAACGUUAAGAGUAUUUAGUCGACAGUUAUAAUAUUACUUGAAUUGAUUUAAUUUCAUACUCUAAUAUAAAAAAUUUAAAACAUACUCUUAUAAUAUUACUUGAAUUGAUUUAAUCUCGUACUCUAAUAUAAAAAAAUUUAAAAUUUCUUUACUAAUUUUAUCGAAAGUAUUAUUUGACAAUCCUAUUUAUUACAUAAUAUCAACGUUUAUAUUAUAAUUACCGCUAAUACUAAAAGCUGAUCUCGUAAUUAAAAGUUAAACAAAAACUCGAGUACAAUCUAGUAAUUAAAAGCGCUAUGGUUUUUUGGCAUUACAAGAUGAUUCAAACUUGAACUUGCCAUCAAAAGUGUAUCAAAACAAUCACAGAGACUCUGUUUGACAAAUCUGCAGUAGAAUUUGCACAAUUUGACUGGGUUACAGAGAGUGAAUAAGAUUCCAAAGCAACAGGCCAUUAUUAUUAUUAAGAAAACAAUUCAUCGCUAGAACAAAAUUAACUUUUCUAACUUACUAGAAUUUAACUGGAGAAAAAUUGGAAUAUACGACGUUGUAUCACAUAUAGUAUUUAGACAUCAAGAAAAGAAUCCCUCUAUCAGUGAACUAUACUUGCCAGGAAACACGGUGAAAUACCACCACCUCCCUACUAGUUCUUAGAUGUCUCAAAAGAGUUUGAUGACGACUUCCGUGUUGUACCUCUUCGACAGGCAGCAAAAUUGGGCUAUUGACUAGGAUUAACUCCCAAGAAAUUUAUGCGGUCACCUUCUUCCGGACUAUCCUCUUUCUUCGCACUUUAGGAGCCCGUGCUUCCCCUUCAACAGAGCCGACAUUCCCUUGUUUGAUGCCAAGGAGCCCAAGCCCAGAGACAAUGGCAUUCUUUGAUAUCAACCACUUUGGGGACUUUUGAGUUGAGCCAUUGACAUCCUGAGCCGCCCCGUUGUAAGCCUUCUUCAAAAGGUCAUAUGAUUGAAGUAGCGGAUCCGCUUCCACUCCUAGCCAAGCAAGCCUUGAUCUUUCUCCUAAUUGGACAUUCAAAAAAUCCAUUUGAGAAGUUGAAGAAUAGUGUAAGUCCAACACAUAUAGGCAGUAAAGAAGAAUUUGGACGGCAAUUACUGAUUUUUUAUGCACAGGGCUGAACAAAUGGAGAUAUUAAGGCACUUAAAAGUUGGAACCGUAUUCACCACUUGUAUUUCCUUAGAGAACUAUCUCAGAGUUCAGUUAAUUUAAAACCAUUCUUAUGUAUUUAACUGUCAAACUAGAGAAAUUGUACUUCUGUAGCGAUGUCGCACUAUUGUUAAGGAUCUGGACUUGGAAAGGAUGCAAGUUGAUUAAGUCAAGAAAAAUUGAAAUAAUACUUGGUGAUAGAUCUGCACACUUCAAUAGAAACCACACUAACCUCUUAUCAGACAAAUAAACAGAUUCCCCAGUCAAAGUUUAACAAACAAAACAUUAAAACAAGGGUAAUUUGGUACGUCCAGAAUAGUCUAUCAAUGUAUAUAGAGGUGUAGAUCAAUAAACAAAUACGUAGAAGAGGGAGAGGGAGAGAUAACCUGGUAACAUCAAAAUGGUUGAAGACCGCUCUAUCAAAUCCACACAAUAGCUGAUAUCUCAUGUUUGCAUAUAGUCCAAGGAAAGCACCAAAACCAAGCUGAUCCCAUUCUUGCUUUAUCCCAUCCCGACAGAAACAAACAUUUAUUAGCUUAAUAUGUAAGAUGAAAAUAAAAAGGAAGGGAAGAGUUCCUUUGUUAUGAGAGAAAAAACACACCUCUCCUUAUGAUUCUCCAACUCCCACAAAACAGUGCAACCAAUUGUGGCAGCCUGCUCUAGUAGAAGUUUAUACAAAAAAGCAGGAUCUGCGAGCAUCCUGUGGCAACAGCAGUCAAUACAUAAGAAAUCUGAUGAGAGAUCCAACAUCUUUAAACCAAUCAAACAUCACCGAACCAUUGGAAAGUGUAUACCUAUAAUUUUUUUUUAUCCCCAAAAACUUUGUCCAAGAUAAAUGAAUGUAUAAAUCUCUUCUACUAGUCUAAGCUUUAACUGUUUUCAACUCCAAACUUCUAAAUCCAACACAGAUUCAAAACAGCCAAGAUUAAUGAGCGACAAAGCGAUAAUAACACAAAUCCCAAAGCAAUCAAAAAGCAAAACCCAAAAAAUGAUAAAUUAAAAGUAAUUCCAGGAGCUCAACAAGAAAGACUACCUGCCAAUGAAUGCCCUCGAGAUUCCCUGAGGAAGUGAACGAGAGAUGAACCUAGUAGUUGUUGGUCUGGCAUUAAUAAGACUUCAGAGGAACAUGGCAAUUAUUAUUAUUAAGAAAACAAUUCAUUGCUAAAACAAAAUUAACUUUUCUAACUUAUUAAAAUUUAACUAGAGAAAAAUUGGAAUACACGAUGUUGUAUCUCAUACGGUAUUUAGACAUCAAGAAAAGAACCCCUCUAUCUGUGAACUAUACUUGCCAGGAAAUUAACACCAGGCGAAUACCACCCCCUCCUACUAUUUAUUAGGUGUCUCAGAGCUUGAUGAGGACUUCCAUGCUGUGUAUCUUCGACAGGCAGCAAAAUUGGGCAAUUGACUACAUUAACUCCAAGAAAUUCAGAGGGCGUUAAUUAAAUACCCUUUUAACAGUAUCUUUUUAUUCUUCUCCAAUCUAACAGUUAUUUGGGAAAUCUAAAUGACAGUCAUGCAUCAAAGGCGUCAAAGUUUGGCUACAAAGCAGCCUGGAAAAGGCUUUACCCUCUGAAUGAGAGCAUGAAUUCGAAAAAUAUGAUGAAUGAAGAAACAAAGGCAUAAUACCACAAGAAGUAAAACUUUUCCCCAGAGCUCUGUUUCUGUUUAUGCUAAAGCCAAUGGAAACCGAUGGAAAUGAAUUUCUACGAAUUAGACAUAUCAGCCAAAACAGGUACUCUGUACAAGCAAAGUAAAAGAGAGUUACAAAAAAAUUUAAAUUGAUAUGAUAAUUAAAAUUUCAGUCACCAUAUAAUCAAUAGAAAACUUUGUAUACAAUGAUUUAUUGCAUAUUAAGAUUGUAUAGCUAAAUUUUAAUUGCUAUACAAAAUAUGAUAUUAGCAUUGGGAGACCGCACCAAAAAGUACCUAAUUGAAUGUGCCUUUUCACAGCCAUUGUACAAGCUUUGAAGCAUUACCACAAAUGCUUUUCAAACCCUUGAACAUGAUGCACCCAAGAGAUGCAAGAUAUGAAAUUGUUACUACAGCCAGCAUUGAAACAUAAUAUUAGCAUUAGGAGACCGCACCAAAGCAUACCGAAUUGAAUGUGCCUUUUCACAGCCAUUUUACAAGCUUUGAAGCUUUACCACAAGUGCUUUUUCCAACCCAUGAACAUGAUGCACCCGAGAGAUGCAAGCUACGAAAUUGUUACUACAGCAAGCAUUGGAGCAUUUGUUAAAAGAAGGAAGUUUAUGAAAAUAUGCCUUUGGAUGGAUACCCAUCUUCAGGAAUCAAUUCAUCCGUAACAACAAUUUUCAAGAAGUAUCAACUGCUUUAAGUUCAUCGACAUCACAGAGAACUUCAACUAAAAUAGAGCGGAUCUGGCCAUCACUAUCCCUUCUACUGCUCUUUUCCUUUAGAGAAUGCUUGAAGUACAGAAUGCGUGUAAGGGAUUCUUAUUCAAGGUCCAAUGAUCAAACCUUGCACAAUAACAACAGAGGUAGUAGUUCCUUCGCCAGCCUAAUCCUUGGUCUCAGGAAUGUCCUCAACAGGGUAUUCGAAAUCAACCUAAAAAUUAAGAAUGAGUUGGAAAACUGUUUAUGGCCCUAAAGAACUUGAAAAUCAGAAAAGAUUACGAAUGAGUGACUAAACAUUUUGAUCGCAACUAAACAUUCAAACCUUGAGAAUCUAAUUUUGAAGUACUCUUGAAUGAAUGAGCAAUUGCAGGAGAUGGUGACAACUAAGAUUACUGCGAAGUCUCUUACGAAUCCUUAAAGAUGAUACUUUACAUACCACGAUAACCUGAUAACACAGAGGAACACAAUGAACAUUAAAGUGUAUUCUGACAAUGCAAAUUUGUGGAAAUUAUCAGCUGUGGUUACCUGGACAAUAUUGCCAACACCAAGCUCCUUCCUCAAUUGAAACAUAUGAUCAGCCCACAAAUGCUUUGCUUUGUAGCUUUUGAGAGCCUGAAAUUGUUUUCACAACAACAGUGAAAAUUAGGUGAAAAAAUUGAUAAUAUUAGCAUAAUUCCAUAUGUUUAUAUAGGAUAAACCGAUCAAAGUAUGAAACAAGAUAGAAAUGAUGAUCUUAGCACCUUAACAUCAUGCAAUAAUAAUCAUCAUGUCUUUCAGGCAGCUAUCCAUCCUCAAUUGAAACAGAGCAGACCCGGCCAUCACUUCCUUCUUCAAAGUCCAGCAACCAAACGUUGCACAAUAACCACAGUGAUAAUCCUUGGUUACCCCAAUGUCCUCCAUAGAGUUUUCAAAGUCAACCUGAAAAUGAAAUAAAAAUGCAAUGCAGGUAGAAAUGAAAAUUCUAUAAAUUAAAUAAAAUAAAAAUGCAAUGCUUGAGCUUGAGCUUGCUUUAACAUCAUCAUAAUAGGGAAUUUAUAUAUAUAUAUUUACUUCUCUGUUCUUGUUUAUUCACAACAAGAUAUCAAUAGAAGAAGAUGGAAAUGAAAUUCUAUAAAAAAAAAGCAAGUGAAUUACCAGCAAAACAUUUUAGCAACCCUUUGGCUAAACUAUUCAUUUUCAUAAUCUUGCUCUCCUGGGUGCAUCAUUAGAACCAAAUUAGCGUGGACCUGCGAAUUGCUAGUGUAGUUCUGACAUUUCCUCGAAUCCCUGGUGAACAUAAUUAAACUCGUAUGAAAUAAAACAAAGUGGGCUCAUGUACUACUAAAAACAAUCACACAAUUACUUUAAAGAAUUAAUGUCACAUAAAUUAUGUAUAAAAAAACACGAUUAUCAUUAUACAAGAUAACAUUGAUAAUUUAGUUUUCAACAUUACUGCAAAUGUAUCACAGAGAUUUUGUCUCUCAGGAAGUUACACAACAAAUUUUUGUGCAUUAAAAAAUAAAAUUCGUUAGGAUUUUCUAUGAUGUUGUAUGAAAUUUUACAAAAGACUACAUAUUUUUUAAAAGAAAUUAUAGAAAUUUCAACAGACUGCACUUGUUUUUUAUUUUAUUAUUAUUUUAGCUUUAGAAAACAAGUUUAACAAAUUUGAUGACUAGGAAGUUUAAAUUUUAAAUAAUUGAAAUUAAAAUAUUAUCCUAACUAACCUUUAUGAACAAUUGAUUAAAUUUAACACUACAUAUUUAUACUAUGAUUGAUUCUGUAAUUUUUAUAAUAGCAUCAUAAAGUGACCCAUUAAAUUAAUGGUGGAAGUAAAUAGUUAAAUUCAAUACGCAAAUCAAAAUAUUAGAAAAUAUUGUAUAUUCCUGUUAGACAUUGGGCAAUAUAUAGAAUUUUAAUUCAAAAUAUGAUUAUUUUUAUUAAUUUUAUUGCAAGCAACAACAGAGUAAAUCAGUGGAGGAGGAGAAAUUACCGGCGAGUGAUAUCUUACGCCGACCGCAUGAUGUGGGGAAGGUGAGAUAUCUUAUGCCUGUCUUCUCCUUCCCCUUCUCUGUAACCCCAAAUUGUCAAUGUCUGCAGUGUCGUUGUUUGAAUUUACCACUCGAUGUGGGGAAUGUGAGAUAUCCUAUGCCAGUCUUCUCCUUUCCCCUCUCUAUAACGGUUUUCCAGAAGAGGACAUCCCUGAAUACUCAAUUGCUGCAGCGUCGUCGUCCGAAGAAGGUAAUCCGGCAGCACCUUUAAUUUGGGGCAAUACUCAAUUUCCAAGGAAGAAAGACGUGGUAUGUCUGUUGUCCUGUGAUCUUCUAGAAUGGGCAGUUCUUCCAUAAUUGGACAAUAAGAAAUACUCAAUUUCUGCAGUGUCGUCGAUUGAAAAAGGUAAUCCGGCAGCACCCUUAAUCUGGGGCAAUGCCAAAUCGUCAAGGAAGAAAGACGCGGCAUGAUGGAGAUGUUUUCCUUUCUUGUAAUCCUAUAAUUCCACUCUUCCAAUUCUUCCAUUGCCCCAACGUGGAGUGAUUUUAAUUUGGGGAAGGCAAUGACUGAUGAUGAUGAUGAAGAUGAAGAUGGGUCAUCCUCACUGCUUCCUUCGAUUCCCAAAAACUCAUUACCCACUCUUUUCACACCAUACAGGCCGUAAAGGGUGAGUUUUUGCAGCGGCAAUUUUCCCAAGGGAGGAAAAUGCUCACAGAUAACGCACGAUUUAAGUCUUAAAUCCCUUAGAUUGGUUAGUGAAGUCAACCAUUUGGGAAAUAUGUUGCCUCCGUAGGAUACAAUCCCUAAUUCUUUUACAUUCAAAGGCGGUUGUAAGGCUUCCAGAAGUUGUUGAUUCUUCCUCCUCCCUUCUUCACCUUCCACGUCAAACUCAAGAGAUAAACGAAGGAGGUUUUUCAUAUUGUGAAGUCCUAAUCUCUCAGCCUCAUCUAAAUGUGACACAUUACUCAGCCCUUCUAUUCCACAUUCUCGAAGGAGUUGAAGAUUUUUCAGAGAUUCAAGCCUACACGUACUGAUAUCAUUAACACCUCCGCCCACAGCAAACUUUUCUAAUGUUCGAAGACUGGUUAAUUUGGAAAUCCCUAUUGGCAUGUACUUCAGCGAAGGAGUGCCACCAUUCAGUAAACUCCUCAUGUUCUUUAACUUCCCAAUCCCCGCCGGCAAUUCUCUAAGAUCUUCGCACCACCUAAUAUCUAGCUUUUGUAAAUUAUAUAAUUCACACAAAGUCUCAGGCAGUAUCUCUAUACAUAAUUCAGAAAAAUUAAGAUAUUUUAAAUGUAUCAAUUUUCCGACAUUUUCUGGAAUUUCUCUAAUCAAAUUUGGGUAAGGAUCAAAUAUAAAAUUCCGUUGCCCUAUAACUAAUGCCCUUAAACACGCCAAUUUACUAAAUAACUCCGAAAGGAUGCUACUAUUAAGAGACGGAUUGGAACGACUUUGGAAAUAAAUUAGGAGGGUCCGCAAUCUAUUAAGUCCAUGAAUGGACAUAGGAAAUGAAGCUCCUCCUUCAAAAUUUAACCCUAAGUGACGGACUUUAUCACCAAAAGAGUUUAUGACUGAUUCCUUGGUACCAUUAAUUUCUACCCACAAACAUUCUUUUCUACUUACAAAUUGGGCAAAAUCAUGUACUAUGUCAUGCAUCUUGCAGCUCAUAAUAUCAUCAUCAUCAUCAUCAUCAUCAUCUUUUUUAAACUCUUGAAAGAAAGAGCGUGCUGCUAAAAUAUUGAAAUACUCUUCCCCAGUCAUCUCCAUCUCUUCGUCUUCUUCUGCAUUAAGGUAACCUUGAACCAUCCAUAGUGAAAUUAGUUCCUUUUUUUUUAUAUUGUAGUCUUUCGGAAAGACAGAACAAUAUGAAAAACAUCGUUUUACCAUAGAAUUGGAGGGCAAAUCAUUAUAACUCAACAACAAUGGAGCAAAAAGGCCUUGCCCAAUCUCUUCUACUUUCCACAUUUCACUAUCUAAAAUUUUUUGCCACUCUUUUAUUGUACUUUUAGAGCGUAAGAGAUUCCCUGUUACCUUUGCAGCAAGAGGCAGGCCUUUGCACUUGCGUGCAAUUUUUCGCCCGAUUGGUUCUAAUUUUUCACAAUCCUCGAAAGAGCGACCGGAAAAUGCUAACAUCUUGAACAACAACCAACAUUCCUCUUCAGUCAAUUGCUCAAUGAAGAUAAUAUUUGUUGAUCCCAUCAUACGUGCAACUGACUCAUUACGUGUGGUAACCAAAAUUUUACUUCCAUGGAGACCAUGCUUUAGACAAUGGAAGAAUGGUUCCCAUUUAUUAUAAUCCCCAUCCCAUACAUCAUCUAAGACAAGAAAAAAAAUUUUUCCUUCAAUUGAUCUAUGGAUAUGGCUUAGAAGAGAUUGGAAUUCGCUUAAACUAGAAGUUGACUCACCUAGACCUUCAAUGAUUGCAUUGGCAACCCUAAUCUCCUCAAAAGUGUCUGAUACACACACCCAUAUAACUUUUUCAAAAUUUCUUUUCACCUCAUCAUUAUUAUAGGCCAGUUGUGCAAGAGUGGUUUUACCUACGCCCCCUAACCCAACUAGUGAGAUGACAUGAAGGCCUUUUUGUUGUUCACUACUUUCAAACAACAACUUGCUUAAGAGCUCGUUUUUCUCGUCAACUCUACCACAGACCUCUCCCUCAUCAAUCAAGGAGGUGGUUGGCGCUUGUUUCGGUUUUUUAACACGGUUACUCACAUUCUCAACAAAUUUAAACCUAUCUUUUUGGGAGGCAAUAUCAUCUAGCUUUUCAUUGAUUUCCCUAAUCUUGACAGCAAUGUCAUGACGAAGACUGAGUUGUUUGAAACUACCAAAGCAGUUUGAUACAGCAGGAAAGAAGGAACGUACCUUCUUCUUGUGAGGAGCAAGGGAAAAAGCAUUGUCAUCAUCAACGCCCUCAAUUUGCAAUUUGAGCCUUGCAAAGACCCACUCGUCCAACACAUCUUCCAUGUCGUAGGACGCGUCUUUGAGCUGAUCCAGCCAAAAAGUAACAGCUUUGUCUUGCUGCAUUUGCCUUUGCUCGGCAUCGUCCAGCACAGCUCGAAUGGCUUGAAGAUUGCUGGUAAGCUUUUUCACUUCUUCUCGGACACCAGUCACAAGCCUCACCUGUUGUUUCACUUCAUCAGCCGCAACAGAGAUCAGCUGCUCCAGGAGAGAGGAAACGAUCGCAUCAACCAUUCUGACAAAGAAGACGAGAAUUCUGAAGAGUUAUUAGAUGUGCUUUUGUUGCGAUGAUACUGAAAGAAAAGGAGUUAUUGCAUUCUUUUAUACUGCAUAGAAAAAGCUUAUGCUUAUCCCCACCCCACACGUCAAUGAUUGUAGAACGUUUAAUUUCCCUGAUUCUACUCCACUAGUUUUCAUGCGUAAUUAUAAAUAUUCUCAAGUUAUGUAUGAAAUAGCACAAAUUUGGAUCUAAUAAUGAUUUUUAUGCUUUUUGUGUGUUCACUUUUUCAUAAUCUUCUACUUUAAAAAGUGAGCACAAAAAUAAUAUCAAGCAUUAACUCAAAUUCACAAAGGAAUAAAUGACGAAAAGAAAAAAGAUUGGAGAAAUCAUAUUGGUAAAUUAGCACAUUGUUUUUUUAAUAAUCUCGAUAAAAUUAGUAAUAUUCAUAUUAGUCCCUAAAAAAUAAAUAGAUAUGACUAAAGAAAACUCUUGGUAGUCUCCACGAUCAGAAUUUAUUGAAAUAUUUUUAGCCUAGGUAAAAAAGCAAGUUCCCAACUUCACCGUUAGGUAAAUCUGAAAUCCUUUCUCGCAGACUUUUGCACAAAAUAGAGUGUGAGUACUACAUUUUACGAUCUAACAAAAUGAUUUUUAUUAUUGUAAAACUAUUAACAAUAACCUAAAAUACUUUAUCUGCAUGUUAUUUUUAUUAUUAACAAUAAACUUUUAACAACUUUUAUGCAAAGGAGUCCCCACUCUCUACCUGGGGAAUUUGGCAUUGGAUGCAAAAAUUAUGCUUAUCUUUAAUUUCCCUGAUUCUACUCCACCGAUAAACACAUGUUCUGCACUAACAUUUUUAAAUUCCCACACAUUAGGAAUUUGGCACAUAAUAAUAAAUAUUCUCAAAUUCGUCGCAUCUUUACGUAUGAGCGAGUGUUCUGUCUAUUUCACUUUUCUAUCUUACUGCAAUUUCAAGGCGGCUCAAUCAUAUUUUAGGUCUUAAAUAAAUUGAUUUAAUUAGACUUUCUAAAAAAUUUGAGGUGAAAUAUGUGUAUUAAUUUUAUUAAAGUUUUAUUUAUUUAAAAUAAAUUUCUCUACCUUUCUGAGAUGCAAAAUUAUUAAUCAACUUUUUAUAUUCUAAUUUUGCUAAUAUAUCUUUCUCAAUAGAUAAUAUAGUUAACUUAUUUAAUCUUUCCUAUGACAUGGUUGAUCUUAAAUAAUUUUUUAUCAAUAGCACGUUUUUAGAUUAAGCUAACUUUUCUAUUCUUCUCCUUUUAUGAAGUUUUUUGUAUCAUGAUGCAUAGUUUUUAGUAGACAUUUUUUUUUUCUAAGGAAACAAGAGUAAUCAUGCAAACAAUUAUGCUAGAUAAUUAAAAGCAAACAACCUAUGAGCAGAAUAAUAUUUUUACAAAAAAACAAAAACACCUAAAUAACACAAUUAAUUAAUAAGAGAAUUGGAAGAUAAAACCUGAAAAUUUGAGAAAUUUAACUUUGAUGGAUUGAGGCUUUGAGCAACAAUGAUCAAAAGAAAGUAAAACAAUUAAUUUUCUUUUCUUCCUUAUGCAAAAAGUAAGGUAGAGAAAGUAGUUUUUUCACCAAAGCAAUGAAGGUUUUGUGUUUUUUUUAUUGGAAAAAGAUAUUAAUGGAUAAUAAUUUAAAAAAGGUGUGGCCUUUAUAGAGUUUUAAAUGAAAUAAAUGGAGGAAAUAAAUGGAUUAUAAUUGUUAAUUAUAUUGUUAAAAGGGGAUUUUGUAAGAAUCUAGUAGUUUGUUUAUGGAAAAUAUAGUUAUAAAUAAUAAAUAUAAAUCAAUAAUUAAUAACUAUAAUUUAGGAAUUAAAUUAGAAACCUUCAUUUAUAAUGGGGUCCUAGGUUAAAUGUGGGGUCCUGAACAACCACCUAAAUUAUCCUAAGUUGCCUGAGGUAAGAGCCGCUCCAAACUGUAAUGUCAGGUAGAGGAAUUCAGUUCCCCCAAGGGAUGGAAACGAUGGCAUCAACCAUUUGAUGUUCGAUUUAAAUGCUAAAUUUUACAUUUGCUUUUGUUGCGAAAGUGCUCAAGGGAAAGUAGCUUUUGUGUAUUCAGUCAGAAUGCUCAUUCAAGCAUUUUUGCAUUCUUCUUAUGCUACAUGAGAUAUUUAAUUUUUACCCUUGAGUCGAUGUCAAUGUAAAUGCUUUUAUGCUGCAAAUUAAAGAAAUCCCAAUAGCCGUCACCGUCUCGGGCUAACUUUCCGCUCCACCACAACAAUAAUUGUACAACAUCUGCCCUGUUUCUCUGAUUCAUAAUAAUUAUGCAGAUUACUCAGCACCAACAUUUGUAAAUUUCUUACAUUAUAAGUAACAAAAUAUUUGUAAACUACGACAAAAACUUAAAACAAUCUACCGAUGAACCUUCUGAAGUUAUAUAUAAUAGAUUAACUUAACCUAGAAUAAUCUUAGUGCUGUAACAAUUUCAAAAUAAAUGAUGUUUUAUUAUAAAAACAUGUCCAAGUAAUUGUCCCAUAUAAAAGGUAUCUUUCCACUUAAGAAUGUAUCAUUUCAUAUUGUCAUUUCAUUUGAAAUGGUGAUGGACCAAUUUAGACAAUUGAUUAAAAUCAAAUCUUGAUCCAAUGACCAUAAAUGAAUGGGUAUCAUGAAAAAUGACAAUCCAAAUGGAGGGCACAAGUAUAUUUAUAAAUAGAGGCCAUGUUUAGUGAAAUUCUAGUUAUGCAACCCAAGAGGGGGGGUGAAUUGGGAUUCUAAAAAUUAUUCAAUUUUUAAAGCAUGCAAAUAUAAAACGAAUUUAAAGCAAUAACAAAUAAAUUUAUCACAAUAUAAAAAGAUAAGGUAAGAGAGAUUCAAACAUAAGGAUUUUUAUGUGGUUCGGCCAACCUCGCUUACGUCCACGCCUCCAAGCUUUCUGAGCUUCAGGAUUCCACUAAGCAAGCUUCCAAGACUUCAAAUGCUUACACUUGACUUCUAAGGUGUCAAUAAACCUUUACAACAAGAGAUUAUCCCCAAUCUCUUAACCCAAGUGUAUCCCAACACUUACAAUCACUCAAUUUGAUUUUAAAGAAUGUUACAAAAUAAAUUUCUCUCACACUAUGUGUUUGAUUACAAAUGAAGACUCAAAGUGUGAGUAAAUGAGAUGAAUAUAGGAAUUUAAGGCUCAAUGAAUGUUGUAUGCUCAAGACUUUGCUCAAUAAUAAUUGUUGGAAUCGUUUUAGUUUGAAUUUGAUUGAGCAUAUUUAUUGCUGGAGCUGAAAACUAGCUAUUAUUGACUUUCUGCACACUGUCGGAUCACCGUUUUAAAUAGUCAAUAUGACCGUUGGGCUGAAUUCUUAAAUUGUUGGAUCGCCGUUAUCUAGAUGUCGGAUCGUCGUUAGUGUCCAGAGACUAAUCUUCAAUUCUGUGCAAUGUCGGUUAGCCGUUAUCAAGUUGUCGGAUCACCGCUAGUGUCCAGAGGCUAAUCUUUAGUUCUAUUCGAUGUCGGCGAGCCGUUAUCAAGAUGUCGGAUAGCCGUUUUCUACAGUAACUACUACAGGGAACUAUUUUGUAAAAUAAUAGUUUGACCCCAAAACUUCAGAAAAUUAUACUAUGACCCAACACUUUAUAAAACUUGUUAAAUAGAUCCAUUUAUAGGAUUUGAAACAAUAUUUGUUAUUAUCAAAAUUCUCAAAUCUUUUUCAAUUGAAACCAUUAACAUGAGAAUAACCAAAAAUAUUUCCAUAGAAUAUAAAGUCUUUAUAAAGUGAGAGUGAUGAUUUAAAAGUAUAUGAAAAUUAUUUUGAGCUUUUAAAAGAUUAAUCAAUCUUAAUUAAAUUUGUUAUCAUCAAAAUCAAUAAUAAAGAAAUAUUUAUGUUAGCAAUCUUCCCCUUUUUGAUGAUGACAAACUGUUCAAGAAAAUAUUUGUGCAAUUUUGCUCCCCCUAAAUAUGUGCUCCCCCUAAGUAAAAUAUUUAAGGAAUUUAACUUCCCCUAAAUAUGUGCCCAUCAAUUUUUAAUCUCAUAAAAAAAAAUUUAAAUAGAACAGAUUGAAUCGAUAAAUUAUAUCAUCAAUUUUUAAUCUCAUAAAAAAAUUUUAAACAGAACAUAUUGAAUUGAUCAAUUAUCUCCCCCCUUAAUCAUAAAAAAGAAAUGAGCACAAAAAGAGUAAAAAUGAGAAGUUCAGAGAGUACCCAUGUUGGAAAAAUUUUGGCAGAAUCUCCCCUUAAAAAUGAACAUAUCCUCAACAAUACAAAUAGUUAAAACACUCCCAUAUAUACAUUCCAACUUAUCAACCAACCUCCAUUCCAACGAAUUCAAUAUAAUCAUGAACAAUAACCAAACAUGUCAUCAAAAUCAACGAAAUCAUAAAUUGUAAUACCCCACACCCGAUUUUGACCCUGUUGACCACCCUUAUAAAUUGAGAGAGAGAGAGAGAGAGAGAAAGGAAAGAGAGAAUAGAAGAGAGAGAGAGAGAGGGGAGAAACCGAACCGGAUCCAACCCGACCCGCGAGCGCGACCCGGCCGGUUCUCCCAUUUCUGGCCACCAUUCCGGUCAAGGUUGGUACCGAUUUGAAGCUUGAGAGACGAGCAACGUAUCCAUGCCGUCCUUGCCGCCGGAAAUCGAUCGGAAAGCCACCGAUCGAAGCUUUGAAGUUCCGCGGAAUCGCCGCCUCGAUUCACUGUGAUUUCGCUGGUUUCUGGUGAAGGCAUCACUUGGGUUUUGUUCCUUCGACCAUUUCCGACUAACCACUCACGUUGGGGACGUCGUUUUGUCGUUGGUCGGCCGUUGAAGGAUUCAUGACUUCGGGAGCUCGAUCUGAAGCCAUCACCGCCCGUGGGAGGUCACCACCGCCACCAUUGGACUCAGCGUGGCUUGAACUUUCAGUUCUGAGCUUCCCGUUGCCGUCGGUUGAAUUCUGGUGACCGUUGACCAGCAAGGGUAUUUCAGUAAUUUCACAAUCUAAGGGCAAUUUUGUAAUUUCAAAUUUUGUGGGUAUUUUAGUAAUUGUUGAAAUUGAGGAUAAACUUGGUAAUUUAUGAUUUUGAGGUUAAUUUGGUAAUUUUGAUAUUUGAGGGUAUUUUGGUAAUAUUGAAUUCAAGGGCAUUUUGGUAAUUUUGAUCUUUGAGGGUAAUUUCAAAAUUUCAAGAAUUAUCAGUAUUUUGAUGAUUUAUGAUUUAAAUUAAGAUUAUUUGAGGUGAAGUAUGAAAUGUGAUUAUAUUGAGGAAUUUGAGAAUAUUGGAGUAUAUGAUUAUGGUUUAAUUUUAUUCUUAUGAGAGUAUUUUUAUUUAUUUUUAGGCCGAUGAUAUCGAUGUGCAUUUGUUACUCAAGGAUACCAGGAGGUAAGUAAACUAGAUUUCCAAACGAAUCACAAUAAACAAUAUAUAUGUUUGACAUGUUUGGAAAGCCUAUUUUUAUAUAAGUACGGAUAUUGAUUUAUAUGCUCUGCCCAUGUGUUUAUACGAUAUGUUGAUAUGAUGUGUUGUUAUGUGUGUUUAUGGACAUGGGCAUACGUAUGUGUGAAUAUUUCAUUGGCAUGAGCACGAAAUGCAUUAUGUUUUCUAUAAAAUGAGAAAGUGAAUUUUAGCCAAAUGGAAUUUGUAGAAAGAAAGAUUGUUUUACAGUUUUAGCUUGGAUGCUUGAAUUCGUUAUUGGCUUAGUGGAAGACACUCUAGAUGUUUAUAUAGUUAUGAGAUAAGUGGGCGAAGGACGCAUUGGCGAGAAGCCCAAAGAGUAUGAAAGUUAUGAAAAUUAUGAAAGUUAAGGGAGUGUCCUACUAAGCGGUAAUCGAAUAAAGGUAGCUCAAGUAAGUGGUUUGAAAGAGAAUGUGAAAGUUUGAGAAAGACAUAAUGAGAUUUCAAUUAUUUUUUUUACGAUGUUUUCGAAUAUCAUGGCACGUCAUUCAUUUGCACUAUCUAUAUGUAUGUAUGUAUUUUGGUAUAUGCAAAACUAGUUUACUUAUUGAGUUUCGUACUCAUUAUAGUUUAUUGUGAUUCAGUUUCCGUAAAUCAGGAUUGAUUCGUGAUGAUCGUCGAGAAGGACUUGAAUGGAGGAAUUAGAUGGUUUGGCAUGAAUUUUAAAUUCUUCCGCUGCAGUUUACGUUUUAUAUUUGUAUUUUCAAGGAUAUAAUUUUUAUGGAUUGUAAAAGGAUUAUUAUUAUUUAUUAUUAUUUUAUUUUUAAGCAUCUAUCAGUAAGAUUCGCCCUGUGGAGGUCGGGGUGGGUCGUUGCAUAAAUAAAAUUCACAUAUCCAAUAAAAACAUCAUAAAAGCAUCACAAGAACAAUAAAAAAAAAACAAAAAGUACCACAACAAACUACAUGAAAUGAGUAAUGUUUGUGCGAAAAUCAUAGGGGCAGAAAAUUAAGAUGGGGGCGGUGAAGAGGAACUUCCGGGAUCAUAGCCAAGGCGACCAAGAAUACGGCACUGUCCAGCAAGUAACUUCAUCUGCUGAUUUAAUAUCUGCCGCCGAAAAGUCACAAAAUCAGAUUGAAGCUGCUGCUGCUACUGGGAGAGUGUAUCCAUCUUGUCGAAGAGCUGCUAAAAGCGGUCCUCAGAAGCAGAAGAUGCUGCAAGAGGGAUGGCUGGCUCAGUUGGCUUGUCAUCCGAAGAGGAAGCUGCUGCGGAUGCUGCUGCUGUUGCUCGGCGAGGGGCACGCGGUCUAGCCCUAAGGCGGAAGUCGGGUAACUCACCCUUGAAAUAGACAUCAUUUAGCAUGCUAUCAUCCUCUGGAGCAAUAAAAGUGUCUUCAUUCUUAGAGGAUGUUGUCUUUUCCCACUUCCCAUUCUUCUUAAAAAAUCCGAUCGCAGACAUAAUCUCUCGACCGAGCUUUCGGGUCUCGAGAUAAACAGGCUUAGUGGUUAAUGGGCCAAGAGUGAAGCACUAUAUGGGAGAUGAGGUGAACAGCCUAAUGAAGGAUCGGUUCUUAAAGGAUCGAGGUUGAGGAAACAAGAAAGGUCAGGCUUAAAGACCUAAAAUCAAGCGCUAAUUGGGAGGCAACCCAAUAAGGGAAGUUGUUUUAACUUUUUAAAGCAUUAAAUUUAGUUUUUAAAUUAUUGAAUUUGUCUUGCUGUUAUUUUAAGUGUGCAUCCAAUUUUUUAUGUCUUUGUGUUAAAUUGCAGCAGGUAAAAAAAAAACAAAAAAAUGCGAAAAAAAGAGUAGCAAAGAAUUACUGCAGCAUCACUUACAGCAUGACAUAUAACAGAAGAUUCUCAAACAAUAGAGGCAUUUCUUGCUUUUGCAGCAGUAAAUGGAUUGAUCAGAUUUUAUGAUAAGGAGCGUUUGAGAAGUAUAUUAAAGAAAAAGUGACCUUUUACAGCCUAUGCUGCAACAGUGCUUCCAGUAACCGGGCAGUACCCCUAACCGCUAGUUUAUUUUACUUCUUGCUGCAAAACUUUUCUUUCAUUUAGUUUUAAUUUUCUAAUUCAUUCUGCAUGUCCUUUUAUUUAGUGUAUACAUGUCUGGUUUAUGUGGUUUUGUUUUGUGUGCUUGUGAGGACACAACAUCACUCAAGUUUGGGGGGGUUAUGUUUCUGAGUGCAUGUAUUUAUGCUUGUGUUGUAUGAAGCUUUGUUAUCUAAUAUUUGUGUAUGAAUUUGAAAACCUAAUGAAGAUAAAUUGAGUGCUAUUCAGUAUUUAUGAGAAAGCGAAGUAGAGAUAGUUAUAGAUGGGGGUUGAACUUCUGUCCCGACACUUAGACUUUGGUUGAGUUUUACGAGAAUGCAGUAGCAGAGCCAGGAAAACGAAAAAAGAGUAGAAAAUAUCUAAAGUUUGGGGGAAAAUUUUUGUUGAACUGUGCUUGUUAUGAAAUAAAUUUUGCUCCAAUGGCUUAAGUUGUUGAGUAACCAAGGUUGAGUGUGUACCCCAUAUGCAAACUUGAGUCCAAAGGUAGAAAGAGUUAUGAGCAAUGCUGCAGCAAUUAUAUAUUGAAACAAAAGAAAAAAUGGUGAUGAAGGAAUGAAAAAUAAAGAGGUCCGCUGUCUAGGAUACUGAGUAAUUUGGUCUGUUCAUGAGCCCCAUGUUCAGCCUUGAGUCAAAGGCGUCCAAAGGCAAGACCUAGAUAUAACAUCCUAAAUGUGUUGCUGCAGUAACUCUGACAUGUACUUUGAGUGAGUAAUUGGGUGUCGUCAUUACAAGUGAUGGGCACUCACAUGAAAGCUCAAUGUUGCAUUGAAGGGUUUAACUGAAAAAAAAAGUAUUAUUAUUGUAGCACAGUUUGAGUUUAUUUCUGAAUUUUACUCCCUCAUAUGUGAAUAUAUUUGUGUUCUAUCUCUGAAUUAUAUGCCUGUGUAAUGUUGUAGCACCUCUGAAACUUGAUCAAAGUGGCACACACACACUCUGCACAGAAUGAAGCCUAGUUCGAGAACUAAACUAUUAUGGUUAUUUUGCGUGAUUAAGAAUGUGAUAUGAGGGUUGAAGAAUCCUUACAAAUUUGAUGACAGAGCUAAGUUAUUUGUUGAAUGAUUGUGUGAUUGAAGUGUUAGUGUUAUUGUCAUUACUUGAGGACAAGUAAUGGUUUAAGUUUGGGUGUGUGAUAACUCUAUAAAAUGAGAGUUAUUAUGGCACUUUUAGACUUAAAUCAAUAUGGUUUAAAGAGUAAAUGAUGUGUUUCUAUUGUAUUUUGUUACAUUUUGCAUAAAUAUUCAUUUUAAUUUAGUCUUAAUAAGUUUUGCUCGAUUUAAAGUAAUUUGUGCUCAAAUUGUGUGCAAAAUUGUAGGUUUCCAGAAGUUUAUAAUUCAUGGAAGGAAUGCUAUGCAAUAAGGUUGCAAAAAUAAGGAAAGAACAUGGCUAAAAAAGAGUUGAAACAAAUCUGAAACAAUGCAGUUGCUGUAGAUAUUGCUGUAGCAACCAUUGCUGUAGCAAUCCUGGAACAACGACAGAGAAAAUUUCGCGCGGGAUACUUGCAGAAUUGCGAUCUGCAGUUUCCUAAUCAGACUUAUGCGCGCCCUAGGGUUCCGUUUACCCUAAUUUUCAACUAUAAAAGAAGCACACAUCAUAAGGAAAAGAGGGAGCCGUCACCCAAGGAGAAAAACACAAAGAAACAAAAGAAAAACAAGAUUCAAGAGAGAAAUUAAGGGCUGCACAAGAGGAGAAUUUACAGAAAUCAAUUGGGAGCUCAAUCCUUCUUAUUCUUCUCUUGUUUUCGUGUUUUCUAUUUAUACAUGGGGAUGCAUUUCAUGACUGAAACUUUGUUCUUUAUUUUUUUUUUUUUUUGCAAACCAUGAACUAAAUUUAUUUGUGGUUGAGUGAUAAACAAUCUUGAUGGUUUAUUGAUUGAAUACAUGUGUUGUUGCAUGUUUACUGUAGCAGUUUGUUUUGAUAGUAUUUAUUUUUAUUCAUUAUUUCGGUUGAUCACCCAUUUAAUAAUACAAGUUAGGAGAGAGCCGCAAAAGGGCCUAUCUUAGUGGAACAUAUCAGAGCAAUACUUGGUUUAGAUUGAGUUUCCUGGAUUGAGUUUAACUUAUUCCAAAAGGGCCAUGCUUCAUUUAAAAUUAGUGAUGAACUAGACAUAUGGAUUCACCUUGUAGGGUGAAUAGAAUCUAAGCGUGUAAUACUAUAUCUUAUGUUGGCAUAACAACUGAUCACUGUUAGGUUACAUAUAGAUAUAAGAUAUCCAACAUGCGACAGCUGAGGAUACAUAAGGAUUCUGCCCAGUGUUGUAGCAAAUACUGCAGCAACCGAGCCAACCAUUAGAAAAUAGUCAAGACCAUUAGGAGAGUUUAGUCACUCAACUACUAUAUAUUUCCAUUAGUUUUAUCAUUGAGCUUGAUGUGAUAGUUUACUUUGUUGCAUUUAUUUAUUGUGUUUUUAUUUUAAUUAGUACAUUAGUUUCAUUAAUUGUUUAUUUUAUUUUAGCACAAAAUCUGCACUGUUAAGAUUGUUGUAGCAAAUCUGAUAACAUCAAUCCUUGUGGAGACGAUCUUGAAUACUCAUCACUUUAUUACUUGUUGUGUACACUUACACAUUGACACCAAUAGCAUUAGUAUUUAUACACCAACAGUACCUAUGACAGAUUGAUGUUCCGGUUUAGGAACUAAUUCCCACACAUUGUUUCUUUUAAAUUGAUUUAACUCCUCUUGUAUUGUCAUAAUCUAAGAUUCAUCAUUUUCCGCAUCCUCAAAGGAUUUGGGUUCAAUUUGAGAAAUAAAUGCAUUAUGCUCACAAGUAUUCCUAAGUGAUGAUCUAGUUGUAAUACCUCGUGAGGGAUCUCCUAAAAUUACAUUCUUAAGGUGAGAAGAAACAUACCUCCACUCUUUUGGGAGUGAUUGAAAAGUACCUUCAUUUUACUCUACAUUUGUUUCUUUAUGUUGCUCAUCUUGAUUCCCAUGAGACGCAUCCUUUUGGUUAUCUUUUGAUGACUCUUUUUGUAAGUCUUCAUCUGCAUCAUUAUCAACAACAACUUUCUCCGUAGAGGAGGGGUUAGAUUCAUCAAAUAUAACAUGCAUCGAUUCUUCUACAACUAGAGUUCUUUUGUUAUAAACUCUAUAAGCUUCACUUGAGUUUGAAUAUCCAAGAAAAAUACCAACAUCGGAUUUUGAAUCAAAUUUGCCAAGAUUAUCUUUUGUGUUCAAAAUAAAACAUUUGCAUCCAAAAACUUUGAAAUAACCAAUAUUGGGUUUUCUAUCUUUCCAAAGCUCAUAUGGAGUUUUAUUAAGAUUAGGUCUAAUCAACACAUGAUUUAAAACAUAACAAACGGUGUUGACGGCCUCGGCCCAAAAAUACUUAAGCAAGGAAUUUUCAUUCAACAUAGUCCUAUCCAUUUCUUAAAUUGACAUAUUCUUUCUCUCAACAACUCCAUUUUGUUGUGGAAUUCUAGGUGAUGAAAAUUGAUGCACAAUGCCUAGAUUAUUGCAAAAGGUUUCAAAUGCAUAGUUUUCAAACUCUCCUCCAUGAUCACUUCUAAUGCAUGCAAUACCAUACCCUUUUUCAUUUUGAAUUUUCUUACAAAGUACUUUAAAAGCAUCAAGAGCAUCAUCCUUAUUAAUUAAGAAUAAUACCCAAGUGUAUCUUGAAAAAUCAUCAACAAUUACAAAAGCGUAAUAUUUUCCAUUCAAGCUAGCAUACCUUGAAGGUCCAAAUAAAUCUAUAUGAAGUAAUUGAAGCGGUUUUGAAGUAGAAAUAUAAUUUUUACUUUUAAAAGAGGUUUUGAUUUGUUUACCAAAUUGGUAUGCUUCACAAAUUUUAUCUUUUUGAAAACCAAUUUUUGGAAGACCUUCAACUAAAUCAUUUUUGGAAAUCUUUGAAAUUAAAUCCAUGCUUGCAUGUCCUAGUCUUCUAUGCCAUAACCAACUAUCAUCAUGCAAUGCCGAAAAACAUUUAUCAUUAGUGGAUGCACAUUCUAUGUCAAUGGUAUAAACAUUACCACAUCUAUUUCUAAUAAAUAAAAUCUUGUUAUCACAUGCAUUCUCAAUAAUACAUUUAGAUUUAUCAAAAGUAAUUUUAUAACCUUUGUCACACAAUUGACUAAUAUUAAUCAAAUUGUGUUUCAAGUUUUCAACUAAACAUACAUUUUCAAUUAAAGUUGACGAAAUUUUACCGACAUUUCCAACUUCGAGAAUCUUUCCUUUUGAGUUAUCUCCAAAAGAAACAUCUCCACCAUUUUUGAUUGUGGUGAAACUUGAAAACCAUGCAUAGUUUCUGGUCAUGUGCCUUGAGCAACCACUAUCCAAGAACCACUUAUUUUUCUUUUUCUUUAAUCCCUGCAGAAAAAGUUUCUAAGUUUUAGGUACCCAAAACUUCUUGGGUCCUUGUAUGUUAGCAAUGGUUCCUUUUGGAACCCAAAUACAUUUCACACCAUAAUAUGCAUUUCUUUUUACUGGACAUCUAUUUUUCAUGUGUCCAUCUUGAUUACAAUGAUGACAUACAAUUUGAUUGUUAAUAGAAGUACUUUUCACAAAGUAGUUUUUAUAAUAUUUUUGUUUUAAGUUUGGCUUAUAUCCAAUACCUCCUUUAUCAAACACACAUUUUUGUGAAUUGAGCAUGUUUUCCAACAUCUUUUGUCCAUUUGUAAACUUUAGCACAAUUUCAUUUAGUUCAUUAUUUUUCUUCUUAAGCACUUCAUUCUCUUUCAUUAACUCAUCCACAUGUGAUUUUUCAUGUUCAUAAGUGCUUUGUUUACCUUUAAGAGCUAAAGUUUUAUCAUGCAACAUUUUAUUCUCUAAUUCUAAUUCUUUUAUCUUCUCAUUAUUGCAUUUUUCCAGGGCAUCUUUUUCAUUUGUAAGUUCUAGCAUUUUCAUUUUAAGGCAUGCAUUCUUUUUACCAAUUUUCAUCAACUCAUCAUGUAAUUCUUUAAAAGCAUCAUACAACUCAUCAUAGGUAGGAUCACUUACCUCAUUGAGAUCAUCAUCAUCUCCUAUUGCCAUAAGUGUUAGGUUUGAUGCUUCAUGCAAUUCAUCUUCAUCACUUGAAUCUUCAUCGCUAUCAUCCUAAGUAGCAACCAUGGCUUUCUUCUUGAAUUUGUUGAGAAGUGGGCAUUCCGAUCUUAUAUGGCCGGGCUUUUAGCAUUCAUAGCAUAUGAUUGCCUCUUUCUUCUCCUUUUGAUUCUUGAAGUUUCUAAAUCUUCUUCGCUCACCGGUUUUCUUGAAGAAUUUUCUAAACCUCAUUUCUAGCAUGGCCAACUCCUCAUCAUCCGGUUCACUUUGCUCAUCACUCUCAAAUUUUGAAGCUUUGAGAACAAUACUUUUCCCUUUUUUCGGCUGCUAAGUCUUCUUCAUAUGAAAUAAAAGAGCCAAUUAAAUCAUCAAGAGGUAAAGUAUUUAAAUUUUUGGCCUCUUAAAUAGCAGUCCUCUUAGGUCUCCAUUCCUUAGGAAGUGACCUAAUGAUUUUCUUUACUUUCUCACUAUUUGAGAAAACUUUUCCCAAAGCUCCUAGGGUGUUCACCAUGUCCGUAAAUCUAGUAUACAUAGAAUACACAUUUUUAUUUUGUUCCAUUUGGAAUAAUUCAUAUUGACGAGUGUAUCUACUAAUUUUAAUCUCUUUAACUUGAUUUGUCCCUUCAUAAACAACUUCAAGUUUAUUCCAUAUUUCUUGUGCACUUUCACAACUAGAUACUCUAUGGAAUUCUUUCUUAUCAAGAGCACAAAACAAGGCAUUCAUUGCCUUGGAGUUUAAGGACAUCUUUCUCUUUUCUAACUCACUCCAUUGACUUGAUGGUUUAGGAAUAUCAUCUCCUUCAUUUUUAAACAUAGGCAUGAAUGGACCAUCAUAAACAACUUCCCAAAUUUCAUAAUCUAAAACUUGUAAAUAGAUUCUCAUCCUAGUUUUCCAAUAUGCAUAGUCAUUACCAUCAAAGAACGGUGGUCCAGUUGUGGAUUGUCCUUCUCUAAAGGUUGAGUCAUUUAGGGUUGCCAUUGAUCUUUUACUCUAGAUGAUUACGUCCUAACAAGAGAAUAAGGCUCUAAUACCAAAUGAAAUUCUAGUAAUGCAACCCAAGAGGGGGGUGAAUUGGGAUUCUAAAAAUUAUACAAUUUUUAAAGCAAAACUCAAUGCAAAUAUAAAACGAAUUUAAAGCAAUAACAAAUAAAUUUAUCACAAUAUAAAAAGAUAAGGUAAGAGAGAUUCAAACAUGAGGAUUUUUACGUGGUUUGGCCAACCUCGCCCACGUCCACGCCUCCAAGCUUUCCGGGCUUGAGGAUUCCGCUAAGCAAGCCACCAAGGCUUCAAAUGCUUACACUUGACUCCUAAGAUGUCAAUAAACCUUUACAACAAGAGAUUAUCCCCAAUCUCUUAACCCAAGUGUAUCCCAACACUUACAAUCACUCAAUUUGAUUUUAAAGAAUGUUACAAAAUAAAUUUCUCUCACACUGUGUUUGAUUACAAAUGAAGAUUCAAAGUGUGAGUAAAUGAGAUGAAUACAAGAAUUUAAGGCUCAAUGAAUGUUGUAUGCUCAAGACUUUAUUCAAUAAUAAUUGUUGCAAUCGUUUUAGUUUGAAUUUGAUUGAGCUUAUUUAUUGUUGGAGCUGAAAACUAGCCGUUAUUGACUUUCUGCACACUGUCGGAUUGCCGUUAUCUAGAUGUCGGAUCGCUGUUUUAAAUAGUCAAUAUGACCGUUGGGCUGAAUUUUCAAAUUGUCGGAUUGUCGUUAUAUCUAGAUGUUGAUCGCCGUUAGUGUCCAGAGACUAAUCUUCAAUUCUGUGCAAUGUCGGUUAGCCGUUAUCAAGUUGUCGGAUUGCCGUUAGUGUCCGGAGGCUAAUCUUCAGUUCUGUUCGAUGUCGGCGAGCCAUUAUCAAGAUGUCGGAUCGUCAUUUUCUACAGUAACUACUACAAUGAACUAUUUUACAAAAUAAUAGUUUGACCCCAAAACUUCAUAAAAUUAUACUAUGACCCAACACUUUAUAAAACUUGUCAAAUAGAUCCAUUUACAAGAUUUGAAACAAUAUUUAUAUCAAAAUUCUCAAAGCUUUUUCAAUUGAAACCAUUAACAUGAGAAUAACCAAAAAUAUUUCCAUAAAAUAUAAAGUCUUUAUAAAGUGAGAGUGAUGAUUUAAAAGUAUAUGAAAAUUAUUUUGAGCUUUUAAAAGAUUAAUCAAUCUUAAUCAAGUUUGUUAUCAUCAAAAUCAAUAGUAAAAAAAUAUUUAUGGUCACAACUUUUAUACGUUGGCAAAAAAUAUUACAUUUCUUGUUGACAAGCCUCAAUGUUGUUAAUGUUCUUACAAUAUCAAAGCCUGAAGAACGUGAGAAUGAGAAACUCGAGUGUGGCAAAAGUGGAAGCAAGAUGUCUACGUGUGCAUAAGACACAUUUACAAUGCCGUGUCUAGUACUUUGUUUUCAUAAGUACCACAACAAAAUCCACUGCAAAAGAAAUAUAAGACUUAUUGGAGUCUAAGUACAUGAUGGAAGACACCACAAGUAAGAAAUUCUUGACUUCUAAUUUUUUUUAGUUUUAAAAAGAUUGACAAUAGACUUGUGAUGGAACAAUAUAAUGAGAUUUUUUGCAUUCUUGAUCAAUUCAACCAACACAACAUGAAAAGUAAUAAGUUUAUUAUUAUUUCUUCAAUUAUUGAUAAACUUCCCCCCUCUUGAAAAGACCAUGAAAAAAGUCUUAAAUAUAACAAAGAGGAAGUUAGCCUGGAAGGCUUGGCAAAGUCUUCAUAUUGAAUAGAAACUUAAACUUAAUAGUCUUGAGGAACAGACUGCUAUGUCCUCUGAAAUUAAUGUUGUGGAGGAGGAGAAGGAGCUUAAGCAGUCUAAUACCCGCAUUAAUAACAAAAGCAAAAAUUUGAUUCGAAAUAGAAUCAAACCAACAAAAUAAAAAAAUAAAAAAAGAAGUGUACAUGCCACCAAUGUGAAAAGCCUAGCCACUUUAAAAAAGACUGACAAAGCAAAAGUUUGAUUCCAAAUAGAAUCAAACCAAUAGAAUAAAAAAAGAAGUGUACAUGUGACCAAUGUGAAAAGCCUAGCCACUUUAAAAAUGACUGUCAGCUUCUUAAGAAAGAAAAGAAGUGCUCGAACACAAAUUUUGUGGACAAAAUUUAUGGCCAUAAUAUCUUAGAUUAAUAUUCUCGAACAUGAUAAUGCAUGGUGAAUAGAUUCCGGUGCAAUCAAGUAUGUGUACAAGAAUCGUAGGCUUUUCACAUCUUACAAAGCAAUGGAUGAUUGAAGUGUUCUUUAGAUGGGAAAUUCCUCCAUUGCAACAAUUAGAGGGAAUGUGCAACUAGAGUUCACUUGUGGAAAAAUGUUAACUCAUAUUGAUGUUUAUCAUGUAUCUAAAGGUAGGAAAAAUCUUGUAUCUAUAUUAGGGUGGUACCGUAUUUGAGUCAAAGCAAUUUUGCAUUGUUUAAGGGUGGUACCUUUAUUGGGAAAGGAUACAUGUAUUUGGGAAUGUUCAAGCUCAAUAUUAAUAAAAUUAAUGUUUCUUCUUCUUACAUGAUUGACUCAUUAUCUUUGUAGCAUAUUCAUUUAGGACAUGUGAAUAUUAAAAGAUUGCAUGUUAUAGCUAAUUUAGAAUUAAUUUUUAAACAUGGAAAUAAUGAUACUACAUCACUCUCUUCUCAACCCUCUUUCCUGAAACAAAUUUUAUUGUAUAACAUCUAUACUAUAUCCAUCAAAUAUCUAAUAUAUUGUUUACUAUAGGAAUAAUAUAUUGAUUCUCGAAAAGCUUGCAACAUUCAAAAGUAUUCAAGUUUGCUUUCAUCGAUGAAAAACACAUGCAAACAAAUAAGUGAUUCAUUGUAUCCUGGAGGUAUAUAUGUUUAGCCUAUAUGCAUCACUUAAUUGGUGGGACAAAUGAUAUCUUUAGGAAAGCGACAUUUGUAAUGUGCCUUGAAGUACACAUUAAUUUUCUACAAUUUACCUAUUACUAUGAUUUUAUUAUACUCAGGGACGUAGCUGUUGUGCAAAUUUUAAUGUACUCGCAAGCGCACGAAUCUAUCGUAGUAUAGACUAAUGGUGACGAGUGUCGAUCCCACGAGGAGGUGGAUUUUAAUUAUAUGUAGAAUUAAUUUUGUAAAUGGGUGGUUGGAAUUGUGGUGGAAGUGAUUUAAAUUAUCCUAAAAUUGGAAUUGAAAUGGCGAUAAUAAAUUCUAAAAUUGGAAUUGCAAUGACGAGAGUAAAUUGAAGAGAAAUCUAUUGAAAUAACGUACUUGGGUAUCUGGAUCCGUAUCAACAUGCAUCAUGGGCUAAAUAAUCUGUAUUAAUGCCAAUUAAAUCAUGAGGGGGGAAUCCACACCUCAUGAACCACGCUCUAAUCAAUAUGGUGCUAAGGGCUUAUCGUGCCAAAUAAUAAUAACCUUAUACUAGAGAGCCGGUGUAACCAAGGCGGUAUCUAGACAAGAUCAGUAUUAUUUGUCAACGAUAAGUCAAAUCAUCCACAAAAACUAGAGGGGAAAAGAAAAUAAAUUUACCAAAUAAAGCCCAUGACACAUGUUGAGACUUCACCUUCAACCCAAGCUUGAAAGCAAACUAGCCACUCAUAAUUGAACUAGGGGCAAAAUAGGAAUUUAUUAAAAUACAAAGAAAAUACAAGAUGGAGAGAGAAUUACAGAAAAUGGAUCCCAAAAAUGGAUUCAGAGAUAUCCAAUUAGGGGGAGAGGCCCCCUUUUUAUAGAUACAUGGAGUAAAUCAUGGCCAUCGGAUUAAAAACAGUUUAGACGCUCAGGAUUGUGCCACGUCAUCAGUCAACAGUCCACGGUUUGACCACGCGGAUGAACAGUAACACGGUUUGACCGGACUUUGAACAGUAACGCGGUUUGACCCGGAUGAACAGUAACGCGGUUUGAUUGAAAAUAAUCCUGUGUGAUGCAUGUACCGUACGCGAGAUUUUUCAUCCACUGAUAUGCUGCCACGUCACCAUCAACAGUACAUAAGAAUUUUAGCCCAACAGGAUCGUGACACCUCAUCAGUCAAUGCCACAUCAUCGGUCAAUGCCACGUCAUCGAUCCGUCUAUGUGAACAGUGUUGUGAACAGUAACGUAGUUAGUACCGUACACGUGAAUAGUACCGUACAUAUGAAUAGUGCCAUUUUUCCUUUUAUGCUCCUCUUAAGGUUUUCGACUGUCCUGAGUUCAAAAGUGAUGUCCGUUUUGCCGUCUGAUCUCUCCUUUAUUGUGAAAUGACUAUAAUGCCCCUAAAAUACAUAAAUUACUUAAUUAAAAUAAAACACACGUAAUUAAAUCACAAGAAUGUUAAAUACAUAAAAGUAACGGUUGUUAGUAAGACUUGAAAUGUAAAAUGACGGUUUUCUCCUUUAUAAAUAUGCAUUUUAUAACACUCAACACACCCCCCAACCAGCUUAUUGUUAGUCCCUAGCAAAUAAAGCGAAAACAAAAUUCAAAUUCAAAAUGAUUUUUUUUUUUUUUUUGAAACACUCGUAUUUAUUCAAUCAUAUUAAUGAUAGCAAUCAAAUAAAAGUAUAAGCAUUAUCUCCAGUCUAAAGCAACAUCACACCCACAUCAACCAUCCACAUGAAUCGGCCCAGUAGACUUUGUUAUAGCUACUUUCAAGAAUGACAUGUCAAACCCCAAAAUCUCACUGGAAGUAGUGACACUCUCACAAAGAAAUUAAAACCCAAUAAACAUAGUCACUCCAAUGAAUGGUAAUUGAGAAAGAAAAUAAUAAAGAAAUGAUAUCACAUGCUCUCACCAAGAUGAAAUAAAUAUGCCCUCAGCUUAGAAAUAAUACGAUCUCAAGUCAAAUAAAAUGUUAGUCAACCCACUUUAUUUAUCUUUUUUUUUUUUUUUUUUAUGCAUCACUACAUCUUUUUAGCCCAUAUAACUAGCUUCUACUUCAAACUAUAGUUCCCUAAAAUCAAGAAGGACUUUUAUUAGGACGUAACGUAGGCUAGGGAUAUGGCUAACAAAGAAAGGAAAUAAGGAAAACAAAGUGUAUGUUUGAGAAAAAUGCAGAAUUUUUUUUUUUUUUUUUUUUUUUUGGAAGUUGCAAGGUGGAUUUCACCUAUUAUUGUUAUUUUUAUUCUUUUGAAACAACAACUUUUGUUUUGUUUUUUUUUUCUUUUUGCUUUUAUUUGGCAUAACUUCACUGAACAACAUAAUUAUUUACAUUUUCUCAAACAUAAAUAGGUGAUGGAACUUAAAAGACAUUGGGUAAUACUCCAAAUCGGAGUGGGUCAAGAUGAUAAGUUGACAAAGAAAAGGUUUUUGUUCUUUUUUUUUUUUUUUUUUUUUAAAGGCUCAAAAGGGGUAACUAUGGAUAUUUAAUAAAAUGGAUGGCUAGAAAGGCUCAAACGGAUCAAAGAUGGCCUUUCCAUCGUCUUCUAGGGCUCUAAAUAAUUAUCCAUAUCUACUAGUUAGAUGGGCCUCCCAAUGUAGCAACACACAUUUUUUUCUUUUUCUUUUUUUCUUUUUUUUUAAUUUUACCAUUUUUUUUUAAAGGGUUAACUUAAAAGAAAUCUAGAGAUCGUGUAUAAAAUAAUAAACUGCUAAGCUGUAUAGAGAAUGGGCAAAAGGGUUACUCUCCAAGAAAAUGAUAGGCUCAACAACUCACUUGGCACUUAUUUAUGACAUGUUCAUUCCUUCAAGCAACUCAUAUUUGUCUCCGACAUCAACAUGUAAAGUAGCAAACAUAGCGUAACAUCACUUAAGUCCAAAGAUAAUACAAAUACUAAAAUUUGAAAUUAAUCAUGUCAUCCAAUGUUAAAACAAAUAACACAAUUUUUUUUUUUUUUUUAAACAACAUUCUACCCCCCAACCUAUUCUAAGCAUGAAAGGAAAAUAUGCAUGCAGAAAUGUGAAAAUGAUGCAUAAAAACUAAUUAGAAAAGUUACACGUAAAAUGAUAGAAAACGAAAAUGAUUUUUUUUUUUUUUAAAGAAGAUGCGUUUCUAGAGGAACUACACUCCAUAUUCAGCCAUCUUCGACUCAAAAGUUGGAAAAUGUAUAUUUAUAGAGGAGAAAUUAAAAAGAAGAAAAAUAAACAUAAACACAUAAUAAAGAAAAAGAAAAUGUCUGAAAUUUUUUUUUUCUUUUUUUUUUUUAGUUAUUUUUUUAUUAUUAUUUUUUUUAAACGAUGAAGAUGCGUUUCUAGAGUCACUACACUCCAUAUUCAGCCAUCUUCAACACAAAAAGUUAGCAACAGUUAGUUUCUACAACAAAAAAUUAGUAAAAACUUAACCAAAAUUUCACAAUUGUCGACUAUUCCCUCCCCCCAACCAGAACGAAACAUUGUCCUCAAUGUUUUAAAGGAAAGAAGUAGAGUUUAGAAGACAUCACCUGGGUGGUGCAACACAGAAGAAAAUAUUUACAGGCGGAGAGUUAAAUCUAAUUUGUACUUCUUACUGCGGCUACUGUUAUCAUCAUUAUUUGGUCGCUCCAACACAAAGGUCCAGGGGUCUGGCUCCGGUUUAUAAGCUUGUAACAUAUCAAGUAGCUCAUUAGCAGUGUGAGCACAAAUAAAGAGUUUUUUCACAUUAGAAGGAAUGAAAUAGUUUUUUAUUGCAUGGUUAAGAAAUGCGAUAAAGCCAUCAUAAAAGUUAUUGACAUUUAACAAACCGAUGGGUUUCUGGUGAAUGUGUAGAUGGGCCCAAGAUGCUAGUGUCAUAAGUGCCUCUAGUGUUGCAAGAUCUCCUGGAAGGAAAAUAAAAGCAUCAGCAUGAUUAAGCAUUUCAGUUAUUCUUUCUUGCAUACCUGAGACGACUAACUCUUCUCCAGUUGAUGAGUCAGACGAACUGCCCAAUGGUUUUAGGACUCUUGGGAUGAUGCCUAACACUUGACUUCCUCUGAUAAAAGCUGCUUCUGAGACCAUUUUUGAUAACCCCCGGUUACCUCCUCCAUACACCAAAUGUAAUUUUCUCGCUGCUAUGCUUCGACCAAGAUCUAUGGCUGCCUCCACGAACUCUUUAUGUUUGCCAUAGGUAAAUCCAGAAAGCACACAAAUGUUCUUGAAUUGUCUAUUGGGAGUAGCUGCCAUUGUGAUACUUCUCAAAAAUAAUUUGUGAGUGCUUGACAAAAAGUAAAUCACAUUUAAGAAUCUUGGUGACAGUGGAUCACAGCUGUGAAUGAGGUAACAUGUCAGUGUCAAAUAACGCGUAAAGCACGUGGCUCGCGAGUCAAAAAGGAAAUAGUAAAAAGGAAACAGCAAACAGUAACCAAAUUAUUAAAGACAAUAAUGCAAACAAUAAAAAAACAGUGAAAUGAAAUAAAAUAACAGUAAAGUAAAAGGAUAUUUACACGUAGUUGCGACUGUGGCUCACAUCUUCCUCUGGUUUUACGUCCAGAAACGGCUUGAACGCCCUCUAUGGGUCGAGGAUGGGCUUCCCAUCCAGUUUUCUUAUAAACUGGCAAACAGGGUCGUUUAUAGUCAGAUUCCCGAGACUAUAUUGUGCAUGCUCUUUCUGGAAUAAUGGUCAUAACCGGAGAAUCGCUCCUUGCACAUAUCCACUGGGAUGCGUUUCAAGAGACAAAAGGAUAUCAUCCAAUGACUCCUUAUUCAAGCCAUCCCUAAUGAAUUGAAUCUUAUCUUCCCUGUUAUCAGACAUCAUUCCUAAAGAACAUGGGUUUUUAUUGCAACUCAUUCUGGCACACUUAUGACAAGCAACAGAAAUUCUUCGAGCUAGUCAUUUUCUUGCAUAAUUUCCUUUACCACAACCAGGCAUGUAUGCAAUAAAUUUUGGAGGUAACUCACCUGCCGAUCGUACUUUAGCCUCGAUUAACCAACGGAUGUCAGCAGGUAUGUUAUUCCUCAUGAGCAAUCGGAUGCGUUCAGACCGGGCUUUAUAGAUUGUAAGGAGGGCAUUCUGAGGAAGUGAAGGGAAUCGCUUGUGAAGUUUCGCUAGAAUCUCGUUUCUGUCCAUACCUUCGCCUCAGAAUAUCAGUUAUUAUGGGAAACUGAAGUAACCGACUUGAUUGUCACGGAGUACCGUUAUCCGCCACUUCACCAGGGUAACAAACUAAAGCACACAAACAGAAAAACAAAUUAAAACACACAAAGAAAAUUAAAAUCGUCCUCUUAUUGAAUUUACCUCAAGCUCCAACUAGAUGUCGUAAACACUUCUCUCAAUAUCUCGGAGUUGGCUUUCUAGAUUCUCAACAUAGGCUACUAACUCUGGUGGUUGUAGAGCCCAAAUGCGUUGUGUUUUACAAAACUGAAUCUGCUUUUUGAGAUGAGUUUUGACACGUUGAAGUGGUUUAAGAAUGUUCAGGAGGAACGGUCUAAGUAAGGUACUCAUGAUUAAAAAUGAUAAAAGAAAACUUAAUAGUUAAACAAACACACUUAUGCAAAAAUAAUUUCAAUUAGCAGAAGAAUAAUAAAAAGAAAGAAAGAAAAAUCAAAUCAACGAAAAGAAAAAACAAAUCAAUUCAAAUCUGGUGGGUCACUCAAAUUUAUUUCGGUGUCUUCUCCAUGUGGUUGGUAUUCUAGAUAUGGCUUUAAUCUUUGACCAUUAACUUUAAACGUGACACCGUUCUUUGGGUCCUUAAUUUCAAUUGCCCCAUGUGGAAAAACAGUAUGUACAAUAAAUGGGCCAGACCAACGAGAGCGUAACUUACCUGGGAAUAGGUGCAAGCGAGAAUUGAAUAAAAGCACUUUCUGACCUGGAGUGAUCGAUUUUCUCAUAAUUUGCUUAUCAUGGAAGACUUUCAUUCGUUGCUUGUAAAUCUUGGCAUUUUCGUAUGCAUCAUUGCGAAUUUCUUCAAGUUCUGCCAGCUGUAAUCUUCUUUCUGAGCUGGCUUGCUGCAUGUCAAAAUUGAAUUUCUUGAUGGCCCAAUAUGCACGAUGCUCUAGUUCCACAGGUAGGUGGCAAGCUUUUCCAUACACUAGCCUAUAGGGUGACAUCCCAAUCGGGGUCUUGAAAGUCGUUCUAUAUGCCCAUAAUGCAUCAUCAAGUCUUAAUGACCAAUCUUUUCUGUCUGGCCUCACCGUUUUUUCUAAUAUGUGCUUGAUUUCUCGAUUGGAGAUCUCAACUUGGCCACUGGUUUGCGGAUGAUAUGGGGUCGCCACUUUGUGUGUGAUUGAAUACUUUGUCAAAAGUGCUUUAAAUGCUUUGUUACAAAAGUGGGCACCACCAUCACUGAUUAUCGCUCGAGGGAAUCCAAAGCGUGAAACAAUGUUGCUUUUCAAAAAUCCUAUCACCACUUUGUGAUCAUUGGUCCUACAUGGAAUUGCUUCUACCCAUUUCGAUACAUAGUCAACAGCAACCAAUAUGUAUUGAUGGCCAAAAGAAGGGGGAAAGGGUCCCAUGAAGUCGAUACCCCAUACGUCAAAAAUCUCAACCACUAAAAUUGGAUUUAAUGGCAUCAUGUUCCUUCGUGUAAUGCUCCCCAUUCUUUGACACCUAUCACAUGAAGAACAAAAAGUGUAAGCAUCUCGAAAUAUAGUUGGCCAAUAGAAACCACAUUGUAAAACUUUAGUCGCUGUUUUCUUAGAACUAAAAUGGCCUCCACAAGCUUGUUCAUGGCAGAAUGAAAGGAUAUUCUGAAUUUCACUUUCUGGGACACAUCGUCUAACAAUUUGGUCUGCACAAUACUUGAACAAAUACGGGUCAUCCCAAAAGAAAUUCUUUAUUUCUGCAAAGAAUUUAGCCUUGUCUUGCUUGGUCCAAUGCUCUGGAAAUUUACCUGUAACAAGAUAAUUAACUAUAUCAGCAUACCAAGGUAAUACUUCCACAUUCAUCAAUUGUUCAUCUGGGAAUGACUCAUUUAAUGGUAAUGGCUCUGUAAUUGUGUCAAAAUGGAGACGAGAGAGAUGAUCCGCCACAACAUUUUCUGUGCCUUUUUUAUCUUUGAAUUCCAAGUCAAAUUCCUGCAAAAGUAACACCCAACGAAUUAGUCUAGCUUUUGCAUCUUUCUUUGUGAGAAGAUAUUUAAGAGCAGCAUGAUCUGUAAAUAUAAUUAUUUUACAACCAAUGAGAUAAGAUCGAAAUUUUUCCAAUGCAAACACUACUGCUAGCAUUUCUUUUUCAGUAGUUGAAUAGUUCAACUGUGCAUCAUUCAAUGUCAUACUAGCAUAGUAAAUAACAUGAGGAAUUCGAUCAACUCUUUGUCCUAAAACUGCUCCUACUGCAUAAUCAGAUGCAUCACACAUGAGCUCAAAUGGUAAGUUCCAGUUUGGGGCCUGAAUGAUGGGUGAUGAUGUCAACAACUGCUUUAAUUUUUCAAAAGCCAUAAGACAUGAAUCAUUAAAGAUAAAAGGUACAUCCUUAGCAAGUAAAUUGCAUAAGAGUCUAGAAACUUUGCUAAAAUCUUUAAUGAAACGUCUAUAGAAACCAGCAUGUCCAAGGAAGGAUCUUACUUCUCUGACUGUUUUAGGUGGAGGAAGAUUAGAAAUGAGAUCCACCUUGGCUUUGUCAACCUCAAUACCUUUGCUCGAAAUGAUGUGACCGAGAACAAUACCUUGUUUUACCAUAAAAUGACACUUCUCCCAAUUCAAGACUAAGUUCUUCUCGAUACAUCUCUGCAGAACUAGCGUUAGAUGAUGUAAACAUUGAUCAAACGAAUCACCAAAGACAGAAAAAUCAUCCAUAAAGACUUCAAGGAAUCGUUCAACCAUAUCAGAAAAAAUGCUCAACAUACAUCGUUGAAAUGUAGCAGGUGCAUUACAUAAUCCAAAUGGCAUUCUCCUAUAUGCAAAUGUGCCAAAAGGGCAAGUGAAAGUAGUUUUCUCUUGAUCUUUUGGUGCUAUGGGGAUCUGAUUAUAUCCUGAGUAGCCAUCUAGAAAGCAAUAAAAUUCAUGGCCUGCUAAUCUAUCAAGCAUUUGAUCAAUAAAUGGUAAAGGAAAAUGGUCUUUACGUGUGACAGAAUUCAACUUUCUAUAAUCAAUGCAUACACGUCAUCCUGUAGUUACUCUAGUUGGUAUCAAUUCAUUAUCAGCAUUGGUAACUACUGUGACUCCUGACUUUUUGGGGACAACUUGUACAGGACUGACCCAUGAACUAUCAGAAAUUGGGUAAAUGAUACCUGCGUCUAAUAGCUUAAGGACUUCUGUUCUAACAACUUCUUUCAUAUUAGGAUUUAACCGACGUUGCAUUUCCCUAGUAGAUUUAGCAUUUUCAUCAAGGUGAAUGUAAUGCAUGCAUUCUGCAGGGUUUAUACCUUUUAUGUCUGCUAUGGUCCAUCCUAAUGCUCCUUUGUGCUCUUUUAAAACAUCCAACAACUUACCUUUUUGUUCGUCGUUUAGGGAUGAUGAGAUGAUUACCGGUAGAGUGCUUUCUUCUCCCAAAAAUGCAUAUUCCAAUGUGUUGGGUAAUGGUUUGAGCUCGAGUUUCGGUGGUGAUUCUGAUGAUGGGAUGAGUUUCUUCUCUGAUGGUGCUAGUUGUUCAACUCUUGACUUCCAUUUAUUAGUGUCCAUGGAUGGUGUUGAGUCAAGCAGGGCGUUGACCUCAUCAACUGAUCUGUCAAUAUCAAAAUCAAAACCAAAGUGAGUUAAACAUGUUUUUAAAGGAUCAUCACUAAGGUUUGAAAGAAAAGUAUUAUCAACUAUUGUUUCUAUUAAAUCCACAUCAACAAUUCCAUCAUCUGCACUGUGAGGUUGUUUGGCAAUGUUGAAAAUGUUUAGCUCCAUAGUCAUGUUGCCAAAGGACAACUGCAUAUUUCCAGUCCUGCAUUGAAUAUGAGCAUCUGCAGUUGCCAAGAAAGGUCGGCCUAGAAUAAUGGGGAUGUGCUUCCUUGAGUCCUGUAUUGGUUGAGUGUCAAUUACAAUGAAAUCAACAGGAAAAUAAAACUUGUCUACCUGGAUAAGCACGUCCUCCACAAUACCACGAGGUAUUUUCGUGGACCGAUCUGCAAGCUGUAACACCACUGGAGUUGGGUGUAAUUCUCCCAGUCCAAGUUUCACAAACACAGAGUAAGGCAACAAAUUUACACUAGCUCCUAAAUCCAACAAAGCAUUCUCAAUUGUGUGGUUCCCUAUACUACAUGAGAUAGUGGGGGAGCCUGGGUCUUUGCAUUUUAGAGGAAUUUUAUGUUGGAGUAUAGAACUAACGUUUUCUGUUAAAAAUGCCUUCUUUUGAACAUGCAUGUUUCUCUUUUUAGUACACAAAUCUUUAAGAAACUUGGCAUAAGAUGGAACUUGUUUAAUAGCAUCAAGCAAAGGGAUAUUAACACUUACCUGUUUGAAGAUUUCGAGAAUCUCACCUGUGGAUUUUCCCUUCUUUCCUUUCGCUAACCUCUGAGGAAAUGGAGCUUUCGGAACAUAUUCUCGUGGGUUGGUUUCUUCUUUUUCCUCCGGUGGUGAGUCCUCAACAUUCACAGGUACAAUUUGAUUUUCUUUUGUCACCGGCAUCUCCACUUUGUUGUCGACUUCCUUUCCUUUUCGCAAGGUCAUGACUGCUUUGACCUCUCCAUGCUGUUGUGGUGAACUGGUACUUGCUUCAUGUACUCCUUUAGGAUUAGGCACUGGUUGACUUGGAAAUUUACCUUUCUCAACAGUAAUUGCCAAGGUCUGAACUGAAGAAGCGAGCUGUCCCACCAUCUUCUCGAGGCUUGAAACUGAUUGGGCUUGUGAAUUGAAGCCUGCUCUCAACUCAUUUCGUAGUCCAUCAAUGGUGCGAUUCUGUUGCUCAAUCGUGGAAUGAGUAAGAUUCUUGAGAUUCUGGAAUGAAUCCUCCCAUGGUCUGGGUUGAGAAUAGUUCUGGUUUUGAUUGUAUGGUCUAAAUGGUGGCUGAGAGGCUUGAGGAUUUUGUGGAAUUGGUGGAGCUGGAGCUGCUGGUCCAUUCUGUUGGAAUCCUUGAGACCAUGAAAAAUUGGGGUGGUCUCUCCAUCCAGGGUUAUAUGUGUUGGAGUAUGGGUUGUAAUUCGAUGGUUUUCUGAUUACACCUAUGGCAUUGGCUUGAUCGGAGUAUGAGUCAUGGUCAUGUGGUUCUGUUGAUUUAGCAGUCGACAACGAUGCUAUUUGUCGAGCAAGACCUUCAACCAUCUCCUUGACUUCUUUGAUUCCCGAAGUUGACUCGCCAAUUUGAACCUCAUUUACUCCCUUAAUUCUUCUAGUAUUCCUGAUUGAUCGACUCCGUUGUUGGGAAUUAUCCGCUUGUCGCUGGAAGAAUUCCCAAAUCUCUGUUGCGCUUUUUGACAUUAGCUCUCCUCCACUUGUUGCCAUUAGCCAUUCUUGCACAUUUGGCAAUAAUCCCUCCAAAAAGUAUUGGCAUUGGUGCCAUUUCUCAUACCCAUGAUGUGGACACUUCAAGAGUAGCCCAUUGAAUCGCUCCCAAGUUUCGAAAAACUGCUCGUCCUCUCUUUGUGUAAACUCUGAAAUUUCCCUAUGAAUAGAAUUGGUUUUAUGCACUGGGAAAUAUUUAUUUAGAAACUUUGUAACCGUUUGUUCCCAUGAUGCAAUGCUAUUAGCAGGCAAAGUAUUUAACCAUGAACGAGCUCUAUCCUUUAAAGAAAAUGGGAAUAAUCUAAGUUUAACAUCAUCGUCUGAAAAAUUUUCAUAUUUAAAAGUUUGACAAAUGGCAUGAAAAUCAUUCAGAUGAUUAUAUGGGUCCUCAUUUUCUAAGCCAUAGAAUGUGGGGAGACAAUUUAGCACACUAGGUUUUAGUUCAAAACUCCUAGCAGCUACAUUUGGGUAUCUUAUGCAUGAUGUGCUCAAAUUAGCUAAGGGACUAAAAUAGUCUUUAAAUGGCCUCUCCUGUGGUGCUUUUAAAUCCAUUUCAAAUUUAACGUGCUUGUGUGUGCGAAGUGUUUUUUCUAAUUCAAGGUCUAUAGGUUCAAGAUUAGGUAAUAAAGACCUACGACCAUGCAUACAAAAUAAAUAAAAUAAAAAUAAAGAUGGAAAAACAAAUAAAAAUAAAGAAGAGACAGAAAUUACAAUACUAACCUUAUUGCGCUAUUACAACCUUACUAUAAAAAUACACAAAAAUAAAUACGUGAAAUAAAUUAACUAAAAAUUAAAUUAAUAAAAUAAACAAAAAUUACAAAGAAAAAAAUAAAUUGAAAAUUAAAUUACAGAAUUUUAAAGAAGAGAAAAAGAAAAGAAAUACUAACCUUUAAAUGUAGAUUUACUUUUUUUUUUCUUUUUUUUCUUUUUAAUAAAAAAAAAUACAAGAAAACAAAUAAAAGAAAUUAUUCACAAAAAUUAAUUCUAUGAAUUAAAAUUACUUACCUCCCCGGCAACGGCGCCAAAAACUUGUUGUGCAAAUUUUAAUGUACUCGCAAGCGCACGAAUCUAUCGUAGUAUAGACUAAUGGUGACGAGUGUCGAUCCCACGAGGAGGUGGAUUUUAAUUAUAUGUAGAAUUAAUUUUGUAAAUGGGUGGUUGGAAUUGUGGUGGAAGUGAUUUAAAUUAUCCUAAAAUUGGAAUUGAAAUGGCGAUAAUAAAUUCUAAAAUUGGAAUUGCAAUGACGAGAGUAAAUUGAAGAGAAAUCUAUUGAAAUAACGUACUUGGGUAUCUGGAUCCGUAUCAACAUGCAUCAUGGGCUAAAUAAUCCGUAUUAAUGCCAAUUAAAUCAUGAGGGGGGAAUCCACACCUCAUGAACCACGCUCUAAUCAAUAUGGUGCUAAGGGCUUAUCGUGCCAAAUAAUAAUAACCUUAUACUAGAGAGCCGGUGUAACCAAGGCGGUAUCUAGACAAGAUCAGUAUUAUUUGUCGACGAUAAGUCAAAUCAUCCACAAAAACUAGAGGGGAAAAGAAAAUAAAUUUACCAAAUAAAGCCCAUGACACAUGUUGAGACUUCACCUUCAACCCAAGCUUGAAAGAAAACUAGCCACUCAUAAUUGAACUAGGGGCAAAAUAGGAAUUUAUUAAAAUACAAAGAAAAUACAAGAUGGAGAGAGAAUUACAGAAAAUGGAUCCCAAAAAUGGAUUCAGAGAUAUCCAAUUAGGGGGGAGAGGCCCCCUUUUUAUAGAUACAUGGAGUAAAUCAUGGCCAUCGGAUUAAAAACAGUUUAGACGCUCAGGAUUGUGCCGCGUCAUCAGUCAACAGUCCACGGUUUGACCACGCGGAUGAACAGUAACACGGUUUGACCCGACUUUGAACAGUAACGCGGUUUGACCCGGAUGAACAGUAACGCGGUUUGAUUGAAAAUAAUCCUGUGUGAUGCAUGUACCGUACGCGAUAUUUUUCAUCCACUGAUAUGCUGCCACGUCACCAUCAACAGUACAUAAGAAUUUUAGCCCAACAGGAUCGUGACACCUCAUCAGUCAAUGCCACAUCAUCGGUCAAUGCCACGUCAUCGAUCCGUCUAUGUGAACAGUGUUGUGAACAGUAACGUAGUUAGUACCGUACACGUGAAUAGUACCGUACAUAUGAAUAGUGCCAUUUUUCCUUUUAUGCUCCUCUUAAGGUUUUCGACUGUCCUGAGUUCAAAAGUAAUGUCCGUUUUGCCGUCUGAUCUCUCUUUUAUUGUGAAAUGACUAUAAUGCCCCUAAAAUACAUAAAUUACUUAAUUAAAAUAAAACACACGUAAUUAAAUCACAAGAAUGUUAAAUACAUAAAAGUAACGGUUGUUAGUAAGACUUGAAAUGUAAAAUGACGGUUUUCUCCUUUAUAAAUAUGCAUUUUCUAACACUCAACAGUAGCCAGGAUUUUGAUCGAGUCGGGGCAUAUUUGAAAUCAAAUAUGACUCAAAUGCGCGAUUGCUCAUAUGAUAAGUUCCUAUUUGAGAAACUGUAUUGUGGCCCCCAUAAACUCCAAAUGGGAACUUGCGACAUGUAUAAUUGUACUCCUUAUAGAGUGCGUCUGCAAGCAUCUAAUUGAAACCACAUUUAAAGUAUAAUACAUUUUUAAAAAUUUAGAUAGCAAUAUAUAACAUUACAACUAUAAUAUUCAUUGAUAAUAAAUUUAUUUAUUACAAUGGUUCUCCGUGAAAACUUCUCAAUGAGAUUUGAUGAGUUGAAAAUAAUGCAUUAUCAAUAUAAGCAAAAAUAUAUUUUUCAAUAUACAAGACUAGGCUAUUACUUAAUUUGCUCUUAAAAUCUUUUAAUAAUAACAAAAAUAUUCAUAUAUUGCAACACAAAGAAUAAAUAUGAAAUGCAUGAUAAAAUUAUAAAUUUUAAAAUUAGACAAAAGAUUAAUUAGAAAAUUAAAAAUUAAAAUUAGGUAGACUUACAACUUAUGGUUCAGUAUUGAAAGACUAAAUAAUUGAUUUUACUUGAAUAAAAAAUAAAAAGAUUAAAUACCAGUCCAUUAACCAUUAUACUAAUAUUUUGUUAUGAUUGUUUUUUAUUUUAAUAAUUGUUCUCGUGUAUUUAAUCAAGUUUCAUGAAAUGUUAAUAACUAAUUAAAUUAUUUAUAAUUAAAAAUUUAAACUGGGGAUAGUAUGAAAUAUUUUAAAAUUAUUGGAGUCGAUUUCAAAUUUUAAAAUUCAGUUGGGGCAUUUUUCAUAAAUAACAAAUAAAAUACAAAUUUUUAGUAUAAUUAUAAAAAAAAAUUUAAAAGCUAGCUGGGGCCUGUGCCCCACCUCGUCCCAUGCUGGCUCCGUCCCUGAUUAUACUUACAGAAUUGUAAACACAUUAAUUAAUUAUUAUAAAGUUUCACUUCCACCUUUAUUACUGCAAUUCUCUACAUUUGUCUUUCCCCACAAAUAUAUAUCCCAGCACUUAGUAGAUAUAUUAUUUUAUUAUAAAUAUCAAUAGAUUUUUAAUUGUAUAAUACAUACUUAUGAAAUUGUAUAGAGUAAUUUCGUUCAAUUAUAUUAAUCCGUUAUGAAUUUCAUCACAAAUUUAUAGGUGGCCAAUACCGUGCAAGUGAAAUUUCAGAUAAAAUCAUCUCCUAGCAAUUUUUUUUUUAUAUUUUUCAAUUUUGCUUUAACGUAUGGAUCCAUUUCUUGUCUAUAUGGCAGACAACUUUUAUUAUCAGGUAGGCAAAAUCAAAAGCCUUUAUGUCGUUAAUUUUAUUAUGCCAUGACAGACUCCAAGAUCUAAUUUAGAGAGCGACUCAAAUAAUGGUAAUUAGUAAUUCAUUAUAUCUGCGGCUAGCUAGAUACUUUGUUUGUGAAAAAAAAAAAAAAGAAUAAAAUCAGUUUCAUAAUGAUUUUAUUUACAAUAAAUACCAUACUAUGGUCCAUGACUUACCUCAUAUUACUAAGAAAAUAUGUGAAAGAUAAUUAAGGAUUAAAGCUUUCCACAAAGAUUUAUAAAAUUGCUUUUGAUAAAACUGUUCUGAUGAAAUGAAAUUAUAUGCAAUUACUAAGAAUUUAGUUAGCCUCUCAAUUAUCAGAACCCAGUAGUGCAUUUGAAAGGUGAGCAUCAGCAAAUGACUUGUCAAUUAAAAUGCUGAAAUUCACCCUAUAUGCAUUUGUGCUACUAGAUACGUCAUACGUUACCAUAAAUAGUGAUCAGCAUUUGUAAUAUCAAAUUUUUUGUUUUCAUGGUCUUACAAACAACAGGAAUAAAGAGCCAUGACACAAAAACUGGAAAAGAUAUAAUUAUUCUGCUUAUUGGCAGCUUGCGGUUCAUAAUUAAGACGUUCAGCAAGUUCAUGGGAGCCAUGUUUAUGAGCAUCCUCACGUGGAAGUUCUGUGACUGGAACAUGAUGCUUGCAAAUCUUUCCAAAUAUUCAGACAAACUAGAAAAGCCUAAUGUGCGAACCUCUUCGAAAGCUAUAUGUGGAAUUUGAUUCUUCCAUAUCUUUACAUAUUUCAGCUGGCAUGGAGCACCAUGCUUGCAAAUCCUUCUAUUUGAACAAUUACAUAGUUUGCUUUUGCUUCUUAGCUCAAACAACGCCGGAUCUUUGAUACCUGAGCAUCCUGGAUGGGCUGUGUUUGCAUGAAGCAACUGUUGGGGAAAAAUUAGGUUUUUAAAUUUUUUAUAAAACCUUAUGAAGAUCGCUCUCAUAUAAUACAUAAGAAUUUGUAUUCUAGAAAUCGUACCUUGAAAAUCUGAGUUGGCUUUUUCCGGUGAAGUGAUUUAGGCUCCUAGAUCACGAUCCGCCACCACCACUCCUGUUAGAUCACGAUCCGUCACCACCACGCUUGUUAGAUCACGAACUGUCACCAAUGAUCUUCCAGGUUAUGACUCAGGUUCGAUCUGCACUUGACGUGUGGGCGCCGUUAUCACUACCAAAGCAACUAGCACGAGAAAAUUUUUCUCUCAACAAUGGAGAGAAAAAUCUUUUUCUCUGAUUUGUAUAAAGUGGCUUCUUCUUUUCCUUUUUGGGAAAAUAAGCCUUAUAUAUCUCCCUUUAGUGAAAACCCUAGGCUCCAAGGAUUCCCCAAAAUAAAACUCACGUUACUUUUCAUUUAAUAGGAGACCCACCAUGUAAAAUAACAUAAGGCCCCUUACACAUAAGCUUAUUAAAUGGAGCCUCCCACUAAAUGAUAUAUUUAGGCUUUUGACCCAAAUAGCUAGUUAUCUUGCUUAUUAGUCCAGCAGUGGUGCAAUCAAUUAAAUGAGCUAACCCGGGGAUCAUUUGGGAACAUACAAUAGUGGCUACAAUAAUUAGGCCUGUAAUUAAACUAGCCUAAUUAUUUAAUUCCAAAUCUACUCCACUAAAAGAUUGGAACUGACUUCCAUAAUUGUAUGCUCGAAUAAUAAUUCGUCCCAAGCCACAUUGAUUUCUUUACUGCACAAUCCUUUGUACCACAUCGUUAAUUAAAUUGAUAUCUCAACUGUCCAAUCAAUUUAAUAACAUCUUAUUCCUUGAUCCUUACUGGUUUUCUCUAAUGAUCAUUUUCAACAUACUAAAUAUGUUGACACACUCUGGCCAGAGAAUUCUAUGAUCAAGUACCGAAAACCUAUCAAGAGAUGUGUUGUACAAAUUCUAUAUUGUUAAUCCAUAACUCCAAUACUCAUAAUUGCUCCCACCAAGAUACCGGGUAAUCUUGACCAUAAGGAUGUGUCGUGCCCAUUGGUAACUCAAAUGAAAUAACAAUUACAAUCAUGAAAUCAUAAUUAACUCAAGAUUAAGAUUACAGUAAAAUCAACGCCUAUGAGAUUUAAUAAGUCUGACAGUUAUUACAAAGUUAAUUAAAUCUCAUAUGUGAUCCUAUUCAAUGUAGUCGCACUACAUCAAUAAAUUCAUACAUGAUUAAGACAAAUCAUUCAAUGAAUUUAUUACAGUCUAUACCUAAAUAAAGUGUCCAACUUUAUUUAUCAACUGCGAACUAAAUUUAUUUAAUCAUAAGAUAACUUGUAUUUAUGUCUUAUGUGAAUCCACAUGGUGAUCACAUAAAUACAUAUAAUAUGAUUAAAUGGACUUUAAUACAAAUAUUAAUGCAAUUAAGAUAUUUGAAUAAAAUACCUCAUUUAUUUUAUUAAUCAGAAAAAUUGUUUAUUACAAUUAAAUAAACACAUAUGCUUUUAAAGAGCAUAUUUUCCCAACAAUCUCCCACUAGCUCUCAAAGCAUAUUUGGCAUCUCACGCAUGCCCAUGGAUUCUAAGUGCAAGUUAAAAGGUUUCCCAGGUAUGGCCUUAGUAAAAGGAUCUGCCAAGUUUUGCUGUGACGCAAUCUGAGUAACCUCCUCAUCACCUCUCUGCACUAUAUCCCUUAUAAGAUGAUACUUUCUCUCAAUAUGUUUUUGUUUCUUGUGGUUCCUUGGUUCCUUAGAUUGAGCUACCGCACCACUAUUAUCGCAAAAUAGUUUAAGGGGUGCAGUUACAGCAGGUACCACCUCAAGAUCUUGUAGGAACUUGCGGAGCCAUACAGCUUCUUUUGCAGCUUCGGAUGCAGCCACAUAUUCAGCUUCAGUUGUGGAGUCUGCGAUACAAGAUUGUUUCACACUCCUCCAACUAAUAGCUCCACUUCCCAAUGUAAACACAUAGCCGGAAGUUGAUUUUCUGGAAUCCUUAUCUGACAUAAAGUCAGAAUCAGUAUAACCCACUGGAAUGAGUUCAUCACCAGAAUACACAAGCAUAUAAUUUUUAGUUCUUUUCAGAUACUUCAUUAUAUGCUUGACCGCAGUCCAGUGUUCAGGUCCAGGAUUAGAUUGAUAUCUACUAACCAUCCCUACCGCAAAACAGAUGUCUGGCCUAGUGCAAAGCAUGGCAUACAUGAGACUUCCCACAGCUUCUGCAUAGGGAACUCGUCUCAUUCUCUCUAUCUCUUCAGAUGUUUUAGGUGAUUGAUCCUUAGAGAAUGUAAUUCCAUGUCUGAAUGGUAAUAAACCAGUCUUGGAAUUUUCCAUGCUAAAUCUAGCCAAUAUCUUAUCGAUAUAGACCGCUUGAGACAAGGCUAAAGUUUUAUUCUUCCGGUCUCGUAGUAACUUGAUACCAAGAAUAUAACUUGCCUCUCCUAGGUCUUUCAUAUCAAAUUGUUUUGCUAACCAACUCUUUAUUGUAGUCAAUACUCCUAUAUCGUUUCCAAUUAGGAGAAUAUCGUCUACAUAAAGAAUUAGGAAGGCUACAGAUUUUUCUUGAAUUUUCUUGUACACACAUGGUUCAUCAAUGUUCUGAAUGAAUCCAAACGAUUUAAUCGCUUGAUCAAAUCUGAUGUUCCAUGACCGGGAUGCUUGCUUCAAUCCAUAAAUGGAUUUCUGCAACUUACAUACCAUGUGUUCUUGGCCUUUUUGUAUAAAUCCAUCUGGUUGCUGCAUGUAGAUGUUUUCUUCAAGAUGCCCGUUAAGAAAGGCAGUCUUGACAUCCAUUUGCCAAAUUUCAUAAUCUAGCAUUGCAGCAAUUGAGAGCAGAAUCCUGAUGGAUUUAAGCAUAGCAACCGGAGAAAAAGUUUCCUCAUAAUCGAUUCCCUCUUUCUGAGUAAACCCUUUGGCUACUAAUCUUGCUUUAAAUGUUUCCACCCUUCCGUCUACUCCUCUUUUUCUCUUGUAGAUCCACUUGCAUCCUAUAGGUUUUACCCCAUUUGGUGCCUCUACAAGUUCCCAGACUUUAUUGGAAUACAUAGAUUCCAUUUCUUGAUUCAUGGCCUUUUUCCAAAAUUCAACAUCUCUAUCUAUUAGAGCUUCGUUGUAACUAGUGGGAUCUUGUACAUGUUCAUCUGAGAUAGCCGUAUAGGUUUCUCCCAAAAGCAUGUAUCUCGCAGGUAACCUAGUUACCCUCCCACUACGACGAGGUUCUAAAAGUGAUGGUUGUUCAGGGUUAAUCCUGUGUUGAUCAUCUGGUUGUUGCUGUUCUUUCUGUUCUGUAACAGGCAUUGAAAGCUGAGCAUCAACCUGAUCACCUGACAGUUCUUCAAGUAUUACCUUACUCUUAGGUUUGAAGUUAUUCAUAUAGUCUUCCUCAAGGGAAGUUAAAUGUGUGCUCACGAUCACUUUCCUAUCUUGAGGACUAUAAAAUAAACCUCCCCUUGUUCCUUUGGGAUACCCCACAAACAUACAAACCUCAGAACGUGAAUCCAUUUUGUCUGCCUUUGGUUUCAGCACAUGUGCUGAUGAUCCCCAAAUACGGACAUGUCGUAAACUUGGUUUGCGACCUGACCAUAAUUCUAUUGGGGUUUUAGGCACUGACUUAGAUGGAACUAAGUUCAAAAGGUAAACUGCAGUUUCCAGUGCUAGUCCCCAAAAAGAGAUUGGUAAUGACGAAUAACUAAGCAUAGAUCUCACCAUAUCCAAAAGAGUUCUAUUUCUUCUUUCAGCUACCCCAUUUUGUUGUGGUGUUCCCGGGGCAGUCAAUUGAGAUAUAAUCCCAUUUUCAACCAGAUACUCUUUGAAAUCUCCUGAGAGAAAUUCACCACCUCGAUCAGAUCGAAGUUUCUUUAUGUUCUUAUCUAAUUGCUUUUCUGUCUCAGCCCUAUACUCUUUGAAUUUCUCAAGAGCUUCAGACUUAUGACGCAUUAGAUAAACAUAACCGUAUCUUGAGUAAUCAUUAGUAAAAGUGAUGAAAUACUCAUAACCUCCUCGAGCUUGUACAUUGAUUGGUCCACAUACAUCUGUAUGUACCAAUUCAAGUGGUACUGUUGCACGUACUCCUUUGGCCGAGAAUGGCCUUUUGGUCAUUUUCCCUUCUAAACAGGAUUCACAGAGUGGCAAUGAUUCAUUUUCUAAUGGACCCAAGAGCCCAUCUUUGAUCAUUCUCUGUAUCCUAUUUUGGUUUAUAUGACCCAAGCGUAAAUGCCAGAGGUAACAUUGGUUGGAAGAAAUAUUUCUUUUCUUAGAUAAAUGUGCAUGCUCAUCAUUAUUUAUCACUGUGUCAUGCAUAUAAUGGAUCAUUGGACUUAAAUGAUAUAAAUUAUCUUCCAUUUUACCAGAACAAAUAAGUCUCUUAUUAUGAAAAAUAGAAACAGAGGAUCCAAAAUUUACAGUGUACCCUUGCUUUGACAAACAAGCUACUGAAAUUAAAUUCCUCUUAAUGUCUGGAACAUAAAGACAAUUAUUCAAAACUAAAGUCUCAUUAUUAAAAGAUAAUAAAACAGAUCCAGUCUUUACUGCUGACACGAACUGUCAUGUCCCUAACUGCAGCUUGACGCUUCCUUCACUUAUUUUCUUGGUUUCCUGAAACCAAUAAAGUGAAUUACAAAUAUGAUUAGUUGCUCCUGAAUCCAACACCCAAGUGUCAAUAGGAUUCUGAACUAAACAGGCCUCAAUUACAAAAAGAUUUCCCAUACCUGAUUUCACAAUCUUAGGGCAAUCCUUUUUCCAGUGACCUUUCUGUCCACACUUAAAGCAUUUGCCUUUCGGCUUGCCAUCUUGCUUGGUAGACGGUCUCUUUUUCCCAGCUUUCUUCUUACCUUUGCCUUUCGGUUUAGGCCCAGAAGAUGAACUUUUUUCAGUAAUAUUUAUGAUUCCCAGAGAUUUCUCAGCACGAUAGAUCUCUUCAGCAGAAUGGAGUUCGUUCAUCAAUUCAGUUAAGGUCAUGUUUCUUUUGUUCAUGUUAUAAUUGACCUUAAACUCCUUGAAUGUUUCUGGCAGAGAUUCUAGCACCAUGUCAAUCUUUGAGUUAUCAUCGAUUUGUGCUCCCUGAAUCUCAGCCUCAUUCAAAUAGUCCAUCAUUUUGAGGACAUGAUCACGAACUCUUGUGCCCUUCCCCAUUUUACUGUUCAUAAUUCCUUUCAGCGCUGCUUGUCUCGCAGAGCGAGUACUCUGCCCGAACAUCUGUUGGAGACUAUCCAUUAUUUCAGUGGCAGUCUCCAAGUUCUGAUGUUUGGUCUGCAGAAUAUUAGAAAUCGAGGCUAAAAUGUAACACUUUGCCAUUUCAUUGGCCUUUUGCCAUUUCUCAUAAAGCCUCCUCUGAUUUCUAUGAGCAUCAUCCGCUGGAACUGGGGGGCAUGGCUGGGUUAAGACAUAUUUAUAAUUUUCAGCAGUCAGGACAAUGAAUAGAUUUCUUUUCCAAUCUAUAUAGUUCUCUCCAGUGAGUUUGUUUUGACUCAGAAUAAUAGUAAGUGGGCUCAGGGAAGACAUUUUCUGAAAAAUAAAACAUCCAUGCAUAAAUAAUUUGAAAUAAUAUUCACAAUAAAUGACAAAAAUGCAUAAAACCAUAAAUGCAUUUUAAUUUAUUGUAACGAUAAUCUAGUUCCGUUUUGACAAGCUAUCCGGUGGGGAAGUCAUGUCUAUACUUACUAGACCCAAUUACCCAUUGGAUUAUUUACUUUCAUGUAGAGACAUGAUAAAUAAUUAUCGUUAUCCUUUUGGGCCUAAAUUUGUUAACAGAGCUUCGUUGGGAAGAUUAAUAACAAAUUUUAGUUGAGUGUAUAACCAUUGUUUCAAUCUAGAUAUUUUUCAUUUCAAUAGUCACCGUUGGGGUGAACAAUCGAUUGAAAAAUAUUUCAAUUUUAUCUUUGAAGAAGUUCAUCAAAUAAAAUAUCUAAUAAAUAUACCCUCCGAAGGGAGCAUCACCGUAUCAUGAAGUCGAGGUAUAUAUAUAAUUUUAUUAUUGAACUAACAAUGGAGCCCGUGGGAAAAUUAUCUUAAAUUUUCCCUCUCCCACUCAAUAUUUUAAAAUUGGUUUUUCCUUUUUAAAACAUACAUAUUGUUAAUUGCAUGCUUCCUAUAAUAUUAUCUAGAUGAUCUCAAAUAUUAUUAAGCAUAUGCAAAUUUCAAACAAUAUAAUGAAAUUCAUUAUUAAUGAAUGACAUGUAUCAUUAUGCAUAGAGUGGCACUACCUAUUCUAUAUGACAUGUCAUCAUGGCAUGUUAUCAUCCAAAACAUAAUAUAUAGAAAAACAAUUAAAUAAUCUUAAUUCAUGGCUUUCCUAAUAAUGAAAAAUACAUUAACCCUAAGCCUAAUCUUCAUUGGGCUUCUUGUCAAUGUCCAUCUUCCAUAAUCAUGUCUUUGUUAAUGGACUAGGAAAAAUUAGGCUUUUAAAUUUAUAAUUGGUCCAAUUUUAAUUUUGAAAGAAAAUAAAUAAAUAAUAAAAAAAAAAUUUUAUUAAAAUAAAACUUUUGGACCAAAAAUAAAUUUAAUGUGUUCAAUUUUAUCUAUGUAUUUUAAUCCAUUAAGCCCAAAUUUUAAUUGGGCCUAAAACUAGGAUUCUUUAAGUCCAAAACUGUUUUUGGAUUUAAACGCAAAAAAUUGAAACAUUUCUGCCCGAAAGAAAACUUAUGAAACCAUAGGGACCUUCAUGAUAAAAACCAUGAAACCCUAAAAUCAUAUUUUUCUUUCUUUCAUCUUCCCCAGCCGCCAUCUCCACAAAGGGCAGCGACUGUUCACGCAUCUCCGACGCCGAUUUGCUGCCGCCGUCACGCCAGAAACGCACCCAAACGACGCCCUCCACCAGCAGCCUGUGCACGCGCGUCACAAGUCCUCGCCCGCGCUGAUGGUAGCGGUGCUUGCAGCGUUGCAGCGCGCGCUGCAGCUGCAGCGUGUGCAGCGCCCGCUGCUAGCAGCGUGGCUGCUGGGCGCUGCGCGUGCAGCGCGCGCUGCUGGCAGCAUGUGCAGCGCGCGCUGCUGGCAGCAUGUGCUGCUGGCCGCGCGCUGCUCCCGCAGCAGCGUGUGCUGCUGGCCGCUCGCUGCUGCGUGCGCUGGUUCGUUGCUGCAGUUUCCAGCAAGUUUCCGCAAUUUUCCAGUGAUGAUUCUUCAUUGAUUUACAAAUUCUCAACGCAAAUUAUGGCUUACAAAAUUUCAAUUACAUUAAAAUAAAUCAAGAGGAAAACAUGGUGAUAAUAGACCACCCCUCUUGUUACAGAUCCAAACGAAAAAUACAGUAGAACAUCUAACCAUGAAUUAAGACAAACUAUAAACAUGCUUUAUUCAUAUAUUAAACAAAUAAUAUAUAUCUGAAUAAAAUGUGCCACUCUAAUACAUAAAUUUCAAGAAUGAUUUCAUACGAAAUUCUUAUAUAUUAAUAUGAGAGGGCUCUGAUACCAAUUGUUGGGGAAAAAUUAGGUUUUUAAAUUUUUUAUAAAACCUUAUGAAGAUCGCUCUCAUAUAAUACAUAAGAAUUUGUAUUCUAGAAAUCGUACCUUGAAAAUCUGAGUUGGCUUUUUCCGGUGAAGUGAUUUAGGCUCCUAGAUCACGAUCCGCCACCACCACUCCUGUUAGAUCACGAUCCGUCACCACCACGCUUGUUAGAUCACGAACUGUCACCAAUGAUCUUCCAGGUUAUGACUCAGGUUCGAUCUGCACUUGACGUGUGGGCGCCGUUAUCACUACCAAAGCAACUAGCACGAGAAAAUUUUUCUCUCAACAAUGGAGAGAAAAAUCUUUUUCUCUGAUUUGUAUAAAGUGGCUUCUUCUUUUCCUUUUUGGGAAAAUAAGCCUUAUAUAUCUCCCUUUAGUGAAAACCCUAGGCUCCAAGGAUUCCCCAAAAUAAAACUCACGUUACUUUUCAUUUAAUAGGAGACCCACCAUGUAAAAUAACAUAAGGCCCCUUACACAUAAGCUUAUUAAAUGGAGCCUCCCACUAAAUGAUAUAUUUAGGCUUUUGACCCAAAUAGCUAGUUAUCUUGCUUAUUAGUCCAGCAGUGGUGCAAUCAAUUAAAUGAGCUAACCCGGGGAUCAUUUGGGAACAUACAAUAGUGGCUACAAUAAUUAGGCCUGUAAUUAAACUAGCCUAAUUAUUUAAUUCCAAAUCUACUCCACUAAAAGAUUGGAACUGACUUCCAUAAUUGUAUGCUCGAAUAAUAAUUCGUCCCAAGCCACAUUGAUUUCUUUACUGCACAAUCCUUUGUACCACAUCGUUAAUUAAAUUGAUAUCUCAACUGUCCAAUCAAUUUAAUAACAUCUUAUUCCUUGAUCCUUACUGGUUUUCUCUAAUGAUCAUUUUCAACAUACUAAAUAUGUUGACACACUCUGGCCAGAGAAUUCUAUGAUCAAGUACCGAAAACCUAUCAAGAGAUGUGUUGUACAAAUUCUAUAUUGUUAAUCCAUAACUCCAAUACUCAUAAUUGCUCCCACCAAGAUACCGGGUAAUCUUGACCACAAGGAUGUGUCGUGCCCAUUGGUAACUCAAAUAAAAUAACAAUUACAAUCAUGAAAUCAUAAUUAACUCAAGAUUAAGAUUACAGUAAAAUCAACGCCUAUGAGAUUUAAUAAGUCUGACAGUUAUUACAAAGUUAAUUAAAUCUCAUAUGUGAUCCUGUUCAAUGUAGUCGCACUACAUCAAUAAAUUCAUACAUGAUUAAGACAAAUCAUUCAAUGAAUUUAUUACAGUCUAUACCUAAAUAAAGUGUCCAACUUUAUUUAUCAACUGCGAACUAAAUUUAUUUAAUCAUAAGAUAACUUGUAUUUAUGUCUUCUGUGAAUCCACAUGGUGAUCACAUAAAUACAUAUAAUAUGAUUAAAUGGACUUUAAUACAAAUAUUAAUGCAAUUAAGAUAUUUGAAUAAAAUACCUCAUUUAUUUUAUUAAUCAGAAAAAUUGUUUAUUACAAUUAAAUAAACACAUAUGCUUUUAAAGAGCAUAUUUUCCCAACAGCAACGACUAAAAUCUGUAAACCAGACUGUGUUUGCAUGAACAAUAUAAUGAGAUUUUUUGCAUUCUUAAUCAAUUCAACCAACACAACAUGAAAAGUAACAAGUUUAUUAUUAUUUCUUCAAUUAUUGAUAAACUUCCCCCCACUUGAAAAGACUAUGAAAAUAGUCUUAAAUAUAGCAAAGAGGAAAUUAGCCUGGAAGGCAUGGCAAAGUCUUCAUAUUGAAUAGAAACUUAGACUUAAUAGUCUUGAGGAACAAACUGCUAUGUCCUCUGAAAUUAAUGUUGUGGAGGAGGAGAAGGAGCUUAAGCAGUCUAAUGACCGCAUUAAUAACCAAAAGCAAAAGUUUGAUUUCAAAUAGAAUCAAACCAACAGAAUAAAAAAAGAAGUGUACAUGUGACCAAUGUGAAAAGCCUAGCCACUUUAAAAAAGACUGUCAACUUCUUAAGAAAUAAAAGAAGUGUUCGAACACAAAUUUUGUGGACAAAAUUUAUGGCCGUGAUAUCUGAGAUUAAUAUUCUCGAACAUGAUAAUGCAUGGUGAAUAGAUUCCGGUGCAAUCAAGUAUGUGUACAAGAAUCGUAGCUUUUUCAUAUCUUACAAAGCAAUGCAUGAUUGAAGUGUUCUUUAGAUGGGAAAUUCCUCCAGUGCAUCAAUUAGAGGGAAUGUGCAACUAGAGUUCACUUGUGGAAAAACUUUAACUCAUAUUGAUGUUUAUCAUGUAUCUAAAGGUAGGAAAAAUCUUGUAUCUAUAUUAGGGUGGUACCUUAUUUGAGUCAAAGCAAAUUUGCAUUGUUUAAGGGUGGUACCUUUAUUGGGAAAGGAUACAUGUAUUAGGGAAUGCUCAAGCUCAAUAUUAAUAAAAUUAAUGUUUCUUCUGCUUACAUGAUUGACUCAUUAUCUUUGUAGCAUAUUCAUUUAGGACAUGUGAAUAUUAAAAGAUUGCAUGUCAUGGCUAAUUUAGAAUUAAUUUUUAAACAAGGAAACAAUGAUACUGCAUCACUCUCUUUUCAGCCCUCUUUCCUGAAACAAAUUUUAUUGUAUAACAUCAAUACUAUAUGCAUCAAAUAUCUAAUAUAUUGUUUACUACAGGGAUAUUAUAUUGAUUCUUGGCAAGCUUGCAACAUUCAAGAGUAUUCAAGUUUGCUUCCAUCGAUGAACAAUGCAAGCAAACAAAUAAGUGAUUCAUUGUAUCCUGGAGGUGUAUUUGUUUAGCCUAUAUGCAUCACUUAAUUGGUGGGACAAAUAAUAUCUUUAGGAAAGCGACAUUUGUAAUGUGCCUUGAAGUACACAUUAAUUUUCUACAGAUUACCUAUUACUAUUAUUUUAUUAUACUUAUAGAAUUGUAAACACAUUAAUUAAUUAUAAUAAAGUUCCACUUCCACCUUUAUUACUGUAAUUCUCUACAUUUAUCAUUCCCCACAAAUAUAUAUCCCAGCACUUAGUAGAUAUAUUAUUUUAUUAUAAAUAUCAAUAGAUUUUUAAUUGUAUAAUACAUACUUAUGAAAUUGUAUAGAGUAAUUCCGUUCAAUUAUAUUAAUCCGUUAUGAAUUUCAUCACAAAUUUAUUUGUGGCCAAUACCGUGCAAGUGAAAUUUCAGAUAAAAUCAUCUCCUAGCAAUUUAUUUUUUUUAUAGUUUUCAAUUUUGCUUUAACGUAUGGAUCCAUUUCUUGUCUAUAUGGCAGACAACUUUUAUUAUCAGGUAGGCAAAAUCAAAAGCCAUUAUGUCGUUAAUUUUAUUAUGCCAUGACAGACUCCAAGAUCUAAUUUAGAGAGCGACUCAAAUAAUGGUAAUUAGUAAUUCAUUAUAUCUGCAGUUAGCUAGAUACUUUGUUUGUGAAAAAAAAGAAUAAAAUUAGUUUCAUAAUGAUUUUAUUUACAAUAAAUACCAUACUAUGGUCCAUGACUUACCUCAUAUUACAAAGAAAAUAUGUGAAAGAUAAUUAAGGAUUAAAGCUUUCCACAAAGAUUUAUAAAAUUGCUUUUGAGAAAACUGUUCUGAUGAAAUGAAAUUAUAUGAAAUUACUAAGAAUUUAGUUAGCCUCUCAAAAAGGUUUAUUUAUUGCUUGACUUCUCGAGCUUAAAAUUCGAAUGUCAAAAUAGAUAAAAAGUUAAAAAAUUAUUUUAAAUUUAUCCACCCGUUUACCAUUUUAAUAUAUAAAAAAGAAUUACUUACUUUUUAGUAAUUAUGACUAUUUUUAGCAAUAGCAACCGGGGGCAUAAUAUAUCUGAUAGAUUUUUUUUGGGGAACAAAGCUUAUUAUCUCUCUCUCCUAUUGCUUUAAAGUGUCAUCUCUUAUGUUAAACAAGUCUCAGCCAAAGAUUAAAUUGUCAUAUGUUCGUAAGAUAUUCACCACAAAAGUCUAGGGAAAUUUCUUCAUCCUUGAGCGGAAAUACAAAGAAAAACAUAGUUAGCAAUUUUACUAGCAAAACUAAUAUUUUGUUACGUAUGGAGUAAAUCUUCAGGGGGCUCAAGCUCAAACUUAGAAAAACAUAGUUAUUUUGGACGCUUUUUCUAUUUAUAGCUAUUAUGUAGUCAUAAGGAAUUUCGAAAUUUGAGAAGUUUGCUUGUAGCUGCAGGCUGCAGAGAUUUUGAUUUGGCGACUUUGAUUGAUAAUUGAAGUUACUGUUGCAAGAGAAAUGAAAAAAAUAAUUAGCAAAAUAAAAGUCAAAGAGCUAGGCACAAGGCUAUUUGUCAUUUUGUCAUAGUAGAAAAAUAAUUAACAAAAAAAAAAUUCAGUUACUUUGACUUUAUUUCACAAAAUAUAAAAUUAAAUUUCUAUUAUAUGUAUAAAGUUUCUAUAUGAAGUGUUUAGGGGUCAAAUCAGUCUUUUUAUACAUAAUUUUUAAUAUUCACUUAGAAAUCUCAAAAAACUUUCAAAGCUUGUAGGGUCAUGAUCCCCUCUGGGAGUGGACAAAUGUGGGUUUAGAUCAACGCGUUUCUGGUUGAUAGGGUUAGAAUAUUCAAAUUGGAUUAGAUCGGAUAAAAAAUUCAAGUUAAAUUCGGAUCGCAUUGGGUUAUAAUUAUAAGCAAGUUAGGUUGGGUUUGGGUUAAAAUCAUAUUCGGGCUAGUUAUGAUGGAUUCAAAUAAUGUUCGGAUUAGCAUUAUUUUUAAGCCUUUUUUGUUUAUUUUGAAUUUUUUUAAUCAUUUUAGUUCUUGAAGAUUGUUUUAAAGUAAUUAUCUCAUUUCAGUUUUUUUUUUACCAAUUUUCAACAAAAAAUGAAAACUAGUCCUAUGAAAUCAAAUUAAUAAAAAUUAAAAUAAACUACUACUAUCAGAUUGGAUUGGAUCUCCAUCUCUUCCUUCUUCUACAUUUAAGGUAAUUUUGAGCCAUCCAUAGUGUAAUUAGUUCCUCUUUACACAUAUUGUAACCUUUUGAAAAGAUAGCACAAUGUGAGAAAUAUUGUUUUACUAUGGAUGACAAAUCAUUAUAACUUAACGACAAAGGAGCCAAAAGACCUUUCCCAAACUCUUCUACCUUCCACAUUCCACUAUCUAAAAUUAUUUUCUAUUCUUCUAUUGGUCAUUUAUAGUGUAAGAAUUUCCCUAUUAUCUUUGCAACAAAAGGCAAGCCUUUGCACUUACAUGCAAUUUUUUGAUCGAUUGAUCACGAUCCUUGAAGAAUUGACCCAAAAAUGCUACUUGCUUAAACAAUGACCAACAUUCUGUUGGGAAAAUAUGCUCUUUAAAAGCAUAUGUGUUUAUUUAAUUGUAAUAAACAUUUUUUCUGAUUAAUAAAAUAAAUGAGGUAUUUUAUUCAAAUAUCUUAAUUGCAUUAAUAUUUGUAUUAAAGUCCAUUUAAUCAUAUUAUAUGUAUUUAUGUGAUCACUAUGUGGAUUCACAGAAGACAUAAAUACAAGUUAUCUUAUGAUUAAAUAAAUUUAGUUCGCAGUUGAUAAAUAAAGUUGGGCACUUUAUUUAGGUAUAGACUGUAAUAAAUUCAUUGAAUGAUUUGUCUUAAUCAUGUAUGAAUUUAUUGAUGUAGUACGACUACAUUGAACAGGAUCACAUAUGAGAUUUAAUUAACUUUGUAAUAACUGUCAGACUUAUUAAAUCUCAUAGGCGUUGAUUUUACUGUAAUCUUAAUCUUGAGUUAAUUAUGAUUUCAUGAUUGUGAUUGUUAUUUCAUUUGAGUUACCAAUGGGCACGACACAUCCUUGUGGUCAAGAUUACCCGGUAUCUUGGUGGGAGCAAUUAUGAGUAUUGGAGUUAUGGAUUAACAAUAUAGAAUUUGUACAACACAUCUCUUGAUAGGUUUUCGGUACUUGAUCAUAAAAUUCUCUGGCCAGAGUGUAUCAACAUAUUUAGUAUGUUGAAAAUGAUCAUUAGAGAAAACCAGUAAGGAUCAAGGAAUAAGAUGUUAUUAAAUUGAUUGGACAGUUGAGAUAUCAAUUUAAUUAACGAUGUGGUACAAAGGAUUGUGCAGUAAAGAAAUCAAUGUGGCUUGGGACGAAUUAUUAUUCGAGCAUACAAUUAUGGAAGUCAGUUCCAAUCUUUUAGUGGAGUAGAUUUGGAAUUAAAUAAUUGGGCUAGUUUAAUUACAGGCCUAAUUAUUGUAGCCACUAUUGUAUGUUCCCAAAUGAUCCCCGGGUUAGCUCAUUUAAUUGACUGCACCACUACUGGACUAAUAAGUAAGAUAACUAGCUAUUUGGGUCAAAAGCCUAAAUAUAUCAUUUAGUGGGAGGCUCCAUUUAAUUAGCUUUUGUAUAAGGGGCCUUAUGUUAUUUUACAAGGUGGGUCCUCUAUUGAAAAAGAAAAUAACGUGAGUUUUAUUUAGGGUAUUAUUUGGAGCCUAGGGUUUUCACUAAAGGGUGAUAUAAAAGGCUUAUUUUUCCCAAAAGAAAAAAGAUGAAGCCACUUUAUACAAAUUGGAGAAUAAGAUUUUUCUCUCUAUUGUUGAGAGAAAAAUUUUCUCAUGCUAGUUGCUUUGGUAGUGAUAAAGGCGCCCACACGUCAAGUGCAGAUCGAACCUGAGUCAUAACCUGGAAGAUCAUUGGAGACAGUUCGUGAUCUAACAAGCGUGGUGGUGACGGAUCGUGAUCUAACAGGAGUGGUGGUGGCGGAUCGUGAUCUAGGAGCCUAAAUCACUUCAGCGGAAAAAGCAAACUCAGAUUUUCAAGGUACGAUUUCUAGAAUACAAAUUCUUAUAUAUAUUAUAUGAGAGCGAUCUUCAAAAGGUUUUAUAAAAAUUUAAAAACCUAAUUUUUCCCCAACACAUUCUUCUUCAAUUAAUUCCUUAAGAAAUGUAAGAUUUGUUGAUCUCAUCAUGCUUGCUACUUACUGAUUACGUGCAGUAAUCAAAAUUUGACUAUCGUAGAGACCAUUCUUUAAACAAUAGAAGAAUGGUUCCCAUUAAUUGUAAUGUCCAUCCCACACAUCAUUUAAGACAAGAAAAAAGUAUCUUUCCCUCAAUACAUUUAUGAAUAUGGCUUACAAGAGAUAACCUAAUAUUUGAACAUCGUUUUCGGGAUGGUUGCUCCUUUGAUUGUGUGGUCGCACCAUGAUAACAAGUGAACUUGCUCUGAUACCAGCUGAUGAUGCAGAAACACUAAAAAGCUAUUAGAUAAUAUAAACUAGUAUUUGAAUAAUAAGUUUUAUUGAGAAUAAUUUGAAUGAACAAAAUUAGGGUUUUGAAUCCCAUUUAUAGGAGCCUAAAUAUAGCAAAUUUAACAAACUAAGCAAAUUCAAAAUAUUAUAUGAUAAUAAAAUUCUUCAAAUCUAAAUAAGAGAAAGAAAACAGAUGGCACUUAAAUCCAACAUCUAGAAAAAAUGAUAAAAAUCCUAGAAGAAUCAAGAAAAAUAAAAAAAUAUCUUAAAACUGAAAAACGACUAUAAAAGAAGUGAAACUUUUAGCUCAAUCGCAGGGCAUAACAGCCUAGGUCGUUCUGUAUUUGGUUCGACUCAUCGCAAGCUUGGAAACUAUAUUAUAUGUCCAAAACAAAUACUCGUAGCCCAAUUUCUAGCCUCGGAAGACACCAUGCUUAUUCCAUGCAACUAUCUUAUAUCAACUUGCCUUCUCUGCAUCUUCAAGCACAACUUGAAUGUCUUGAAGAUUUAUGGCAAGUCACAAGCAGCAAAGGAGUUCAGCUACUCCGGGAGAGGGGAAGCGAUCACAUCCAUUCUGGCAAAGAAAAGGAGAAAUAAUUUCAUAAGUUGUUCAACGUGCUUUUGUUGCGAAAAUACUUAAAGAAACGAGUUGUUGCAUUCUUCUUACACUACACGAAAAAUGUUUAUGGUUAUUGUCGCCCACCCCACGCGUCAAUAAUUUUAGCAUUUUUAAUUUCCCUGAUUCUACUCCACAGCUGUGAUACAUAAUUGUAAAUAUUCUCUAAUUAAUUUGUAGUGGUCGGGCCAGUGCCAUUUAAAACCAAAAAAAAAAAAAAAACCAAAAGAAAAAAAAGACAAAAGUUGGAAAAAAGCAUGCAUCACCGAUAAUUUAUUUAUUUGUCUGAGGACGGGGAUAUUUUCUACCCACUUCUUUUACAAAUCUACCCACUUCUUUUACAAAUCUACCUUGCUGUCAGAAAAUAAUUGUAAUACGUUCAUACUAUUUUUAAAAUAUAUAAAUCAAUAAAAUGUAUAGACAAUCAAUAAAUUAAAUCAUUCAUAUAAUUUUUUAUUUUUUUAACUUAGGUGUCUUUGACCAUUUAGGUUGCUUUAAGAUAAGUUUUAUUUGACUAAUUUACCAUGAUAAUAUAAAAUGACUAAAAUACCCCAAGAAUCAAGAGUUCUUGUAUAUAAUAGUUUAGGUAUUUUAUUUUUUUGAUUCAAUCUCCAAACUUAUUGUAAUUACAUCUUCUUUAUUUCAAUUUUUAAGAAAUAAUUUGAACUUAUUGUAAUUAUUUCUUGAGAGUGGGGUGGGUUUACAAAAAUUAUGGGCCUUUUCGUUUAUUAAUUCUUGGAAAUUAAUGGCUCCGUAAUCAAUUUCUUUUGUUCUUUUAUUUAAAUAGAAAAGAAAAAUUAAGAGGAGCUUUUGUCUAUUGAAUUGAGGUUCUGUGAAGAAAAAUACGUAUCAAAUGAUCGACGGAUUGUACUUUUCAAUUUUUACUUCACAGUACUUUUCUUUAUUUGCUGGGUCAUUUAUGUUGUUUUGGACGGAUUUAAGUGUUCUUAUACAUUUUAUUGAAUUUUAUUUUGAUAAAAUCACCAACGAUCAGUAGAGAUUUACACUACUUAUCUGAGUAUUUGGUUCUCUAAUGUAAGGAAGCAUGUAAUCUUUCGCCAAUAAUUUUUUAUUUCAUCAAAAUGUUAAAAUGUUGAAAGGAGAAUUAGUUUAUAUAUAUAUAUAUAUAUAUAUAAGAGAAUUAGAGUUCAUAUUGAAGAAACUUCUUUUUCCUACUAUAAGUCCAGUUCGAAUCUUUGAAGCAAAUGAUCUAAUCUCAAGCAUAGAAAGUAGGAAGAUCGAUUGAACAGCGGACACAUUAACAAAAAAUAAUUAAUUUAAAAAGUUAAUAUUGGAUAUCAUAAAAAUUUUAUUAUUAUUAUUGGAAGUUGGUAUGUUGAAAAAUAAACAAGCUUUAUAUGAACUUUAAACACAGAUAAUAAUUUGCAUGUAGUGAAAUUGCUUAAUACAUCCAUUAUUUUAUCAUUUUUAAUUUUAUCUAUCGGUUAUUUUCAUUUUGAAAAUAUAGGAUAAAUAAAAUAAUAACAAACACAUAUUUCAAUUGAAAAUUUAUCAACUUGAAAACACCAUUUUCAUUCUCAUAAUAUAAAUUUAAAAAUAAAAUACAGAACAUGCCCUAACAUUUUCUGAAUUUAUUUUUAUACUGUAAAAGAAUCAAAUUACUCACACAAUUAUUUUAGCUUUUAUGAUAUAAACAAAUAAUCAUCAUUUAAAUUCAAUAGAAAGAGGUAUUCUUGGUAGAAUUGACUUCUUUAGCAAAAUAUAAUCUAUUUGGGACUUCUUACUCCAUUAGGUUAAUUGUCACAUCAUUAAUUUUAGAUUAUAAACUUUAUAUUCGAACUUUGUAAGACCAUCAUUUCUCCAUUUUUAUUUAAAAAAAAAAAAUUAACUUCUUGCAUGAUCUAGUUGGUCUCCUUUCAAAAGAAACCAAAAAUAAAAGGAAAUAAAGCAUAUUAUUUAUCUUAAUUACUUUCAUUUGUUAUUGACAUGUACUCAUGCAUUGUGGUCUUUUGUAUACUUUAUCGAUAUGUUUUGCUUAAGGGAUAAAACUCAUUAUGUGGCAAAAUUUUAUUAGAGCUGGGAUUAUUUAUAUAUGUUCUAGUACUUUGAGCAUCUUACUAUACACUCGUCUAUAAAAUUUUAACAUUAAUUUUUACUACUCAUCGAAAUAUCAAAAUAGUUCUGUAACGUAUGUGAAAAAAAAAAAAAUAAUAAUAAGAGGAAGCUGGGUAAUGUUUUAUGGGCGAGAGGGAUAGAGGAAGCUGUCAACCCGACCCGGAAAACCCGACCCAAAACUGCGAACCCGACCCAGACAGAUCUCCGAUUUUCGGCCACAUCACCGGCCAUGGAUGGUAGCAACGAAAGCUCCUGAGCCAGCCAUCACUUUCCGACCGUCACUGUCGCCAAAAACCAACCGAAACGCCGCCGUUUGAAGCGCGAAUAGUCGCAGCCAAAACCUAUCACGACCGUCGUUGAUUCCGUCGGAAUUAGGCCAUGCCAGACGGAGAAAUGGUCGGCGGUAAACAGAGUUUGUAUCGGAGGUGGGGUAAAUGGAGGAUGAUGGAGAGAGGGCAACCAACGGUCAUGAUGAGGGAGAGGAGGAGGAGGGUGAGGUUAUGGACGGCUGUGAUGGGCUUGAGGAUGUGGGGUCAAUGAGAGGUGAUGAUGGUGGUGCUGUUGAUGUUGAUGUUGAUGCGUCGUGGAGGAUGAAUGUGAGGGAGAGGUAAGUGAGGGUGGAGAGAUAAGUAACUUAUAUAUAUAUAUAUAUAUAUAUAUAUAAGUAAUAUAUUAUUUAUUAAAAAUUAAUUCUUUGAACACUUAAAAUUAUUAAAAUAAAAAUUUAUUCUAUUGUUGUUAAUUCAUAAAAUUUUAAUUCAAUUAUAACAUUUUCAUUUUUUUUUAAGUUAAAUUAUAUCUUUUUUAUUAUUUUUUCCUAAAUUAAACUAAUUUUUCUCUUCUUUUAUUGUCUAAAGUUUUUCGAUAUAGUUUUAUUUCAAAAUAGAUAAAACAAGUACAAAAAAAAGUAGAUGAAUAAAAGAAUAUAUUAAAAAAAUAAGAACAAAUAGCAACACAACUAAUUAAGAGAAUAAUAAAAAGAUAAAAUCAUAAAUUUGAGAUGAAAUCAUAAAUUAACUUAUGUUUAUAUUAAGGCUAUUGUUUGAAAAUUUGAGUAACGACCAAUAGUCAUAGAAAAUAGAGAAAAUUAUUAGAUUUUUUCUUUUUCUUCUAGAGUAGAAAGUAGGGGUGUUCGCGGAUCGGAUUUUACGGAUUGGACAUCAAUCCAUAUCCGAUCCAUGAUUUUGCGGAUUAUAAUUUUUCAAUCAAAUCCAAUCCACGGAUUGAUAAAAUUCAAUCCAAAUCCAAUCCAUACAUCUGCGGAUUGGAUGCGGAUUUGACUCAAUCCAUAUCCAAUCCAUACGUCUGCGGAUCGGAUGUGGAUUUGACUCAAUCCAUAUGCAAUCCACCAUUUUGCGCAUUAGUUUUCAAAUUAAAAUUUUUUAGUUCUCUCCAACUAAUGAAAUAAAAAAAUCUAAUAUAAAAAUAAUUUUGCUACCAAUUAAAUUUAAAAUUGAAUAAAAUUUAAAUAAAUUAAUUGUUUAAAUAAAGCUAAAAUAAUACAUUUAAAGUUUCAAAAUAUAACACAUCAAGAUUAAUUAUUCAAAUAAAGCUACAAUAAUACGUUCAAAAUUUCAAAAUAUAACACACCAAGCUUAAUUGUUCAAAUAAAGUUACAAUAAUACGUUAAUAUAACACCGAAAUUAAUUGUUCAAAUAAAGCCACAAUUAAUUGAAAUGGCAAAGUUUCGGAAACCAAACACAGUCUGAUCAUUCACCAGGAUUGUUGCGCCUGUCAAAAAGUGGUGAUUACGGAGCCAUCCACGAUGGGAACCGUGAGAAGCCGUACGGGUGGCAAUCUUGAAGGUUGUGAUAGUGAAAUUGUUCAGCUAGAACCAGUGAAUGUGAAGUGGCUCGAUGGACUUGGGAAAGAAGAUGGCUUGCUCUCGCCGGAAUCGCGCAGCCAAUGUCUUUUAAAUCCGUGUCGAGAGUGUAUCCAACCAGUAUUGAGUGUUGCUAGUGUGUGUGACGGCGAGGAGCUUAAGGUUUUUUGUUGGCAAAUUAUUGGUGACUUGACGUUAUAUUACUUUGCUUUUGCUAGUGCGUGUGACUUUACUUUUAUUUUGUUUUACAAUUUUUACAAGCUAUAUUUGUAUAUUUGAUUAUUUAAUUAUUUUUCAUUUUAUAUUAUUAUUGGGUAAUGGCUAAGAUAUGUUAUAUUGCUUAGUAACUAUGCAAUGUCACAUUUAUAAUUUUUUUAAUUAAAUUUAUAAUAAUUUUUUAAUUAUAAUAUAUAUAUAUAUAUAUAUUUUUUUUUUUUUUUUUUUUGCGGAUUCACGGAUUUCCGCAGAUUUACAGAAGUAAAUCCAUAUCCAAUCCAUCGACUGCGGAUUUUUAAAUUUUCAAUCCAUAUCCAAUCCACGGAUCGGAUUUAUACGGAUCGGAUUGGAUUCUGAACACCCCUAGUAGAAAGUAGAGGAAGAAAUAUUUUUUUCCCUCUCUCUCUUUCUUUCUCUCAAACACCAAGAUGUCUUGAUUGUUAGAGGAAAAUUUUAAUGGAUAAGUAACAAAAUGUGGGGCUUUUAUAGAGGUUUAAAAUAAAUAUAAAACUUUUGAAAUAUAACUUAUUAAUUCUAACAAUGAAAUAGAGAAUUUUUAGGAUUGAAACUAUUAAUUUAUUGGUUUUGUAGAAAUUAAAACAAUUAAGUACUACAUUAAAUAAACUUUAUAAGAAUUUGAUAGUUUAUUUAGAAAAAGAUAAUUACAAAAUAAUAAUAAAUUAAAUGAAUAAUAAUGACUUUUAAAUUCAUUUUCCUCUUUUAUAUACAAAAUAAUCAUCUCGUAGGGCUUUCAUAUAAAGCGGAGUCCUAUACAACCGCCUAAGUUGCCUAGAGGUCGAACCACUACUAUUUACAAGCCAAUAUUGGAGUGUUGAGGUAACUAAAUAUGAAGCCAUGGCUGGUUUUUUGGGGGAGAAAGAUUUGGAAGAGAUGAUGUUGAGAGGAACGGGGGAGUUCAUAAAGUUUUAGGAUAACGUGGAGGGUAUUUUGGACAUAUUACUGUCUUAGCUUAAAUUUUGGGAAAAAGAUAAUCAAUAAUAAACUAUUUUUUUUAUUUUAGAUUUUAAAUCGUAAAUUUAGUAAAGGAAGUUAAAUCAAGUGAUCACUUGAUUGUUUUCCUAUCAAUAAUAAACUCUUUUUUCAUAUCAAUUUAAAACUCCGAGUGUGUCUCCAAAAAUUGUUUUCCUUUUUUUUAUUUUGGAUUUUAAAUCGUAAAUUUAGUAAAGGAAGUUAAAUCAAGUGAUCACUUUUUUUUUAUGCAAAGCAAUUAAUCUUUUUUGUAAUACCAAACUCCUAUUUCAUCUACCGAAACUACAAAAAUUAAUAUUUUCUAUCAAAUCAAAACCAAAAUUAAAAGAUAACUUAUUAUCUGCCAACUGUCAUUCAACGAAGUCAUCACUCACGCAAAAAAGGAAAAAAGAAAAAAAAAAGUGAUAUAUUGAUUUUAACAUAAUUUCAUACCUCUCUCAAAAAAAAAAAACAUAAUUUCAUACCAACAUAUCAUUCGAGGUUGAUGUGGAAAAGAACUAUUUUUAGUCCAAUUUCAUGUUUGGAUGUUGAGGUUGAUGUGGAAAGGAUGUGGCUCCCACGUAAAACCCAUCGCUUCGUUCUAAACUAAGUGAAUUUAUCUCGUGAGCUAAGUAGUUUAGGAGAUAACUCAAAUAAUUAAUUUUUUAUUAGUUCAUUAAUAAGAAUUUUUUAUUAUAUUUUAAAAAGUAUAAUUCAUUACCAAAAAAAUAUUCUUAAUAAAAAUAACUGUUAUUUAAGAUAUUACAUUUUGACAAUAAUAAAAUAAUUCAAAAUUAAUUAAUUUAAUUUGAUCUCAUACUUUAUUAUUAAAAAACUUAUAAUAUCUUUAUUAAUUUUAUUAAAUUAUUAUUUAAAAGUCAUACAUUUACUGCACACUGUCAACUUUCUGCUAUUUUUUUUGUUCUCACAACAACUAGUAAUAUCAAACAAGAGCUAAGUUAAGUAUGAUCAAUUAAUUAAAGUUUUCAUUUUUUGUAUAAAAUAAUCCUUAGAUAAUUAGUCUAUAAAGAGUAUUGGCUACUUCAAAUGGAAACUUGUGAUCAAAAGUGUAUUACAGAAGUGACAAAGGCACACUAUAUGAGAAAUCUGAAAUAGAAUUUGCAAACUUGAACUGGGUUACAGAGAGUUAAUAAGACUCCAAAGGAACAUGGAAACUAUUAUCUUUAUUAAAUAAUAGUAAUACAAGCUAUUAACUGACUAUUAUCUUUAUUAAUUUCCAUAGCGAAAACAAAAUUAACUUUCCUAACUGACUAGAAUUUAACUCAAGGAAAAUUAGAAUAUACGACGUUGUAUCACAUACGGUAUUUAGACAUCAAGAGAAGAUUCCCUCUAUCAGUGAACUAUACUUGCCAGGAAAUUAACCCCAGGCGAGUACCACCACCUCCUACUAUUUCUUAGGUGUCUCAGAGUUUGAUGAGGACUUCCAUGAUGUGUCUCUUCGACAGGCAGCGAAAUUGGGCAAUUGACUACAUUAACUCCAACAAAUUUAUGCAGUCACCUUCCUCCGGACUAUCCUCUUUCUUCGCGCUUUAGUUGCCCUUAUUUCCCCUUUAAUACAGUCAACAUUAUCUUGUUUGAUGCCAAGGAGACCAAGCCCAGAAACAAUGGCAUUCUUUGAUAUCAACCACCUGGGGACUUUUGAGCUGAGCCAUGACAUCCUGAGAUGGCCUGUUGUGUAAGCCUUCUUCAAAAGGUCAUCCGUUAAUCUUUCUCCUAAUUACACAUUCAAAACCCUGCAUGGAAUCGAUUUGAGAAGUUGGACAAUAGACAAACUCCAACACAUAUAGACAGUAAAGAAGAAUUUAGACCGCAAUCACUGUGGCUCAACAAAUGGGCCUAUUAAGCCUAUUAAAAGUUGGAACCAUAUUCACCGCUCGCAUUUCCUUAGAGAACUAUAUCAGAAUUCUGUAAAUGUAAAACUAUUCUUACAUAUUUAACUGUAAAACAAGAGAAAUUGUACUUCCGUAGCAAAGUCUCGCUAUUGGUAAGUAUUGGACUUGGAAAGGAUGCUAGUUGAUGAAGUAAAGGAAAAUUGAAAUCAGACUUUGAGGUGACAGAUCUAUACACUUCAAUAGGAACCACAUUGACAUCAUAUGAGACAAAUAAACAUUCCCCAGUCAAAGUUUAACAAACAAAACAUUAAAACAAGAGUAAGUUGGUCUAUCAAUGUAUAUAUAGACAUGUCGAUCAAUAGACAAAUACGUAAAAGAGGGAGGGAGAGACCUCAAAGCCGUGCUACUCCAAUAACUUCAAAAUUGUUGGUGACCACUCUAUCAAAUCCACCCAAUAGUUGCAUACACUCACCGAUGGGUUUGUCACAGAUAACCUGUUAGGCAUUAAAAAUUGCCCAAAUUAAACAAAUGUUAGACCAGCUUAGACAGUAAACGGAACAAUAUUCUAAUUUUACUUUAUUUAUAACGAAUAAGUGAACAAAGGAAUAAAAAGGAAUUUUGGCAAAGAAUCCUGCAGCUAAUCCCACCAUACACCGCUCUGCAGGCUUAUUUGGGAAUCAAAAUUCUCAAAAUGUACUAAGAAAUGACAUUUGUUUACUAGUCCCACCAACAAGGAGGAAGUGACGUGAAGAGAAUUUACUAAGAAAUGCCAGUGUAUUAAUAUUGAAGGAAAACAUUCACAGACGACCAAAAUCGCUGAUAUAUACUUAAUUUCUCACUCACUAAGAACGUUCAAUUCAUUCAAAUGAAACUUCCACAGGAAGGUCUCAUUAUUAAGGCUUUAGCUUCACCUCACAUGCUCAACAAUUCAAAUUUGAGGAUGAUAUUUCUCCGAAUGGAGGGCUCUAUUUGGCUUGCCAAUAAUCUUCCUCACAACUAUCAUCCUUGCUAUAUCGGUUGCACUGAGCAAUCUUCAUUCUGAUAUUUGCCCUAUUAAGCUGAGUACACAAGAAUCCGAAACAACUGUUAGAAAUUUUAAUCUUUAUAUAUAGCCAAAAUGGUGAAUAAGAUGAUGUAUUGAUAAUAAAUACCUGAGUUAAUAAAUAAUUAAGGGGCCGGUAACAAUCUCAGCAUUUUAUCAGGUGGGGAAAGCCUUCGCAACGAAGAUGCUGCUUGCUUUCAAGCAAUAAUAACUUUCCAAUUCCAUAAGAUAGCUUAAUGCCCUUUUAAGAAUAUCUCCACCAGCCUAACAAUUAUUCAUGGAAAUCCAAUUUGCAUUUGUCGCCUUCAAUUUGCUCAUCUUUGUCUAGAGUAUUGUUUUUGCAUUAACUUAGCUAGCUUGCAAACCACCUGCAGAUGGUUUUAAAUAAUGUGUGAGAGUGUGAAUUCAAACGAAUUAAUUAAAUAUGAUGACAGGAGAAACAAAAUUAAAAUAACCACAAGAAGUAGAACUAUACUUUUGUGAUAUUCAGAGCAUCUCCUACUGUCUUCAUUUCCCUUAGCUCUGUUUCCCUUUGUGCUCGAACACAAUGCCUCAAGGCUCAAGAUAAUUUGAUGACCAUCAAUCUUUUUGCAGCCACAUGUAGACUUGAAAAACUGUUGGCGGCCCUAAAGAACUUGAAAAUUAGAAAAGAUUCAGAAUGAGUGACUAAAUAUUAUAAUCGAAACUAAUUAAACAAACGCGCCUUGAAAAUCUGAAACUGAAUUACUCAAAUGUAUAUGCCCCUUCACAGCAAUUGCAUGCACGUGGUGGAAAUUUUACUGCGAAGACUUUCUCAAACCUUGAAGAUCACACUCGGCCUGACAACAAAGAAACAAAGUCAAUAUACGAAGAUGAUUUUACUAACAAGUGAGAGCUUACAAAUAUUUGAAGGAUAACGAUCACUCAUAACCCAAAUCCCCAGUAUUCCCUAAUAUUUCACUCAAGUGAGUUCAAGCUCCCAAAUUUCACUACAGUGAAAUGUCAAAACAAAACUCUCUUCUCAAAUUUGAUGAUGAUAUCUCUCGAAGGGAGGCAAAAGAAUCUAACACUGAUCAAAUUGGCUUGUGAACAAUUAAUCUUCCUCGCCAUCAUUCAUACCAGGUGCGGUGAAAAAUCUUCAUUCUGAUAUUUGCCUUAAUAAGCUGCUUAGUAACCUUAACCUGAUAACUCACACAAACAAAAACAACUUGCCUAAAGUUUAAUAUUUCGAGCAGAACAGUAAAGAAGAUGAUAUCUAUUGAUGCUAAAAUUUGACCUGUGUUACCCUGAUGUCAAAAAUCAUAGCAUCUCAUGUGGGCAAAAUCUUCGCAACACGAGAUGCUUGCAAAAUUGGAGCAGCAUCUUAUCACCUGUAAUUUAAUUGAGACAAUAACUUUCCCCAACCAUUUCAAUGCAUUAUUGGCAACUAAAUUCAGAGGGUGCUAAUUAAAUACCCUUUUAACAAUAUCUUCUUAUUCUUCUUCAAUCUAACAAUUAUUUGGAAAAUCUAAAUGACAAUCAUGCAUCGAUGGCAUGAAAAUUUGGCUAAAAAGUAGCCUGGAAAAGGCUGCUCUCUGAAUGAGAGCAUGAAUUCGAACAAAUAUGAUGAAUGAAUAAAUAAAGGCAUAAUACCACAAGAAGUAAAACUUUUACCCAGAUUUCUGUUUCUGUUUGUGCUAAAACCAAUGGAAACCGAUGGAAAUGAAUUUCUACGAAUUAGACAUAUCAGCCAAAACAGGUACUCUGUACAAGCAAAGUAAAAGAGGGUUACAAAAAAUUUUAAUAUUGAUAUGAUAAUUAUAAUUAUAAUGAAAAUUUCAGUUACCAUAUAAUUAAUAGAUAACUCUGUACAUAAUGAUUUAUUGCAUAUUAAGAUUGUAUACCUGAAUUUUAAUUGCUUUACAAAAUAUGGUAGUAGCAUUAGGAGACCGCACCAAACGUACCGAAUUGAAUGUGCCUUUUCACAGCCAUUGUACCAGCUUUGAAGCAUUACCACAAAUGCUUUUUCAAACCCGUGAACAUGAUGCACCCGAGAGAUGAUUAUCUUAGCACCUAAACAUCAUGCAAUAAUAAUCAUCAUGUCUUUCAGGCAGCUAUCCAUCCUCAAUUGAAACAGAGCAGACCCGGCCAUCACUUCCUUCUUCAAAUUCCAGCAACCAAACGUUGCACAAUAACCACAGUGAUAAUCCUUGGUUACCCCAAUGUUCUCCAUAGAGUCUUCAACGUCAACCUAAAAAUGAAAUAAAAAUGCAAUGCAGGUGGAAAUGAAAAUUCUAUAAACUAAAUAAAAUAAAAAAUGCAAUGCUUGAGCUUGAGCUUGCUUUAAUCAUCAUAAUAAUCGAAUUUGGAUAUAUCUUUACUUCUCUGUGGUUCAAUCAUUUACUUCCCUGUUCUUGUUUAUUCACAACAAGAUAUCAAUAGAAGAAGAUGGAAAUGAAAUUCUAUAAAAUAAAGCAAGUGAAUUACCAGCAGAACAUUUUAGCAAUCCUUUGGCUAAACUUUUCAUUUUCAUAGUCUUGCUCUCCUGCCUGCAUCAUCAAAACCAAAUUAGAUUGGACCGGACAUUUCCUCGAAUCUCUGGUGAACAUAAUUAAACUCGUAUGAAAUAAAACAAAGUGGGCUAAUGUACUACUAAAAAAAUUACACAAUUACUUUAAAGAAUUAAUGUCACAUAAAUUAUAUACAAAAAAAUACGAUUAUCAUUAUACAAGAUAAAAUUGAUAAUUUAGUUUUCAACGUUACUGCAAAUGUAUCACAGAGAUUUUGUCUCUCAGGAAGUUACACAUGAUAAAUUUUGGUACAUUAAAAAAUAAAUUACAUUAGGAUUUUCCAUGAUGUUGUAUGAAAUUUUAUAAAAGUCUACUUAUUUUUUAAAAGAAAAUAUAGGAAUUUCAACAGAUUACAGUUUUUUUAAUAAUUUAAUCUUUAGAAAAUUAGUUUAACAGAUUUGAUAACUAAGAAGUUUAAAUUUUAAAUAAUUAAAAUUAAAAUAUUAUCCUAACUAACUUUUAAAUUUAUGAACUAUUGAUUAAAUCUAACCGUACAUAUUUAUACCAUGAUUGGUUUUAUAAUUUUUAUAACAGCAUCAUAGAGUGACCCAUUAAAUUAUUGGCAAAUUAAUGGCUGAAGUAAAUAGAUAAAUUCAAUAUGCAAAUCAAAAUAUUAGAAAUAUAUAAUAUAUUCAUGUCACACAUUGGCAAUAUACAGAAUUUUAAUUCAUAAUAUAAUUAUUUUUAUUAAUUUCAUUGCAAGCAACAACGGAGUAAAUCAGAGGAGGAGAAGAAAUUACCGUUGGGUGAUAUCUCGAUGUGGGGAAUGUGAGAUAUCUUAUGCCAAUCUUCUCCUUUCGCCUCCCUAUAACGGUUUUCCAGAAGAGGACAUUGCUCAAUCCUCAAUUUCUGCAGUGUCGUCAAUUGAAGAAGGUAAUCCGGCAGCACCUUUAAUUUGGGGCAAUACUCAAUUUCCAAGGAAGAAAGACGUGGUAUGUCUGUUGUCCUGUGAUCUUCUAGAAUGGGCAGUUCUUCCAAAUUUUCACAAAAACUAAUACUCAGUUCCUGCAGUGCCGUCGUUUGAAGAAGGUAAUCCGGCAGCGCCUUUAAUUUGUUGAAACCAGAAACUGUUAAAGAAGAAAGACGUGGCAUGAUGGAGAUGUUUUCCUUCCUCGUAAUCCUGUAAUUCCACUCUUCCAAUUCUUCCAUGUCCCAAAUUAUGAGUGAUUUCAAUUUGGGGAAGGCAAUAACUGAUGGUGAUGAUGAAGAUGAAGACGGGCCAUCCUCACUGCUUUCUUCUAUUCCCAAAAACUCAUUACCCACUCUUUUUACACUUUUCAAGUGGAUGAUUACGAGUUUUUCCAGAGGCAAUUUUCCCAAAGGAGGCAAAUGCUCACACUUAACGCACGAGCGAAGAUAUAAAUUCCUUAGAUUGGUCAGUGAAGUCAACCAUUUGGGAAAAAUGUUGCGUCCAUAUAAUAUAAUCCCUAAUUUCUCUAAAUUCACAGGCGGUUGUAAGGCUUCAAGAAGUAGUUUAUCUUUCUCAUUCUUCCUCCUCCCUUCUUCGCCUUCCCCAGCUACGACUCUACCAAACGCAAGAUGCAAACGAAGGAGGUUUUUCUUAUUGUAAAGUUGUGACCUCUCAGCCUCAUCUACAUGCGAUACAUUACCCAGCCCUUCUAUUCCACAUUCACGAAGGAGUUGAAGAUUUUUCAGAGAUUCAAGCCUACACGUGCUGCCGCCAUCAACACCUCCACCCACAACAAACUUUUCUAAUGUUCGAAGACUCGUUAAUUUGGAAAUCCCUAUUGGCAGGUACUUCAACGAACGAGUUUUAUCAUUCAGUAAACUCCUCAUGUUCAUUAACUUCCCAAUCCCCGCUGGCAAUUCUCUAAGAUUCUGGCACCACCUAAUAUCUAGCUUUUGUAAAUUAUAUAAUUCACACAAAGUCUCAGGUAGUCUCUUUAUGCCUAAUUCAGAUAAAUUAAGAUAUUUUAAAUGUAUCAAUUUUUCAACAUUUUCUGGAAUUUUUCUAAUCC
Molecule: long non-coding RNA, 75168 nt
Filed under: Citrus maxima (pomelo)
Lineage: Eukaryota; Viridiplantae; Streptophyta; Magnoliopsida; Sapindales; Rutaceae
Description: long non-coding RNA (CMAX_LNC001275)
Source: RNAcentral